This 61832-nucleotide long non-coding RNA is filed under the name Solanum tuberosum (potato). Its description in RNAcentral is "long non-coding RNA (STUB_LNC009383)". The record is from RNAcentral. Lineage: Eukaryota; Viridiplantae; Streptophyta; Magnoliopsida; Solanales; Solanaceae.
CCUCCAUUUCUAUUUAGUUGUGAUCAUUUUAGGUUUUACGCCCCUUAAAAAAUAACGUUAGUUUAUCAUUGUAUUCUUAUUUAGUGUUAUCUUGAAAUUAAAUAUUCAAUAAAUGAACCUAAUUUGAGAGGCUCAUUUUUUUAAAAAAAUUUGAAACAUAAUUUUUGUACAAGUAGUGAGUAAUAAAUGAAUGCAACAUCAAUCAACGAUUUAACAACACACUAGUACUCUAGCAACAAACUAGCUUAUGGACCAAGAAAAUAAAAAUGAACAUCUAAAUUUACUCUAUUUUAACCUGAGAUAACUGAAGAUUGGUCUCUCUGGGACAUUUAUGCACUUGACAAGCCAACCAAUUGGCCAAGAUGCAGCUGCAAAUCCAAUGCAGAUUCCCCAUUGCCCCCAAUUCAGCCUCUCUGUAUUUGCAAACUUCUUUAGAAACUCAACCAUCACCACUUGGAGAACCAAUGUUAUUCCGAUGAUGGCCAUGAACAACUUGUUCUUGUGUAUUCCCUUAAAGACAUUCUUCUCCUCCAGGUUUCGUGCGUUGAAUUCAUUGAACACUUGGCAAAGAACAAACGUGUUGAAAAACAACGUAUCGUUUACCUUCUUGCUAACACCAAAGAUUGAUUCUCCUUUGAAUUGUAAGGUUGAUAAAACAGCAAUCUGGUAUGAAGCUUGAGCCAUUAGAUUCCUCCACAUAAUAUUCGUGAUAAGUGGUGCUGUCCUACCGACUGGUUUCUUCUUCAUGACUUCCUCGGUUGGCUUCUCUGUAGCAAGUGCUAAUGCCCCUAAUGUGUCCAUGAUCAAAUUUACCCAUAGCAAUUGUACUGAUGUGAGUGGUUCCUCACCAGACAAAACAGCUGCUACAAAGCUGAUCAUGAGCGCGGCCACAUUUGCUGUGAGCUGAAAUUGGAUGAAUUUCUGGAUGUUGAUAUAGAAACAUCUUCCCCAUUUCAGAAUUGUGACAACUGAAGCAAAAUUAGCAUCUAAGAUGACAAUAUCAGAACUCUCUUUAGCUACUUCAGUCCCCUGAAUCCCCAUAGAAAGUCCUAUAUCUGCUUCCUUUAAAGCUGGUGCAUCGUUUGCUCCAUCACCUGUGACCGCAACCACAUGACCUUUCUUUCUCAAGCACUGCACCAUUAGAAGUUUGUCAAAAGGGGAUGAUCUUGCCAUCACGCAUAUCUUCUCCACUCUCUCCAUCCGUUCUUCAUCUGUGAGGCUGCGAAAUUCUUCACCUUCUAUGACUUCUCCUUCAUCUACUUCCUGAUUAGGAUGAAGAAUCCCACAUUCUGUUGCUAUGGCUUUUGCAGUGAAAACAUUGUCUCCAGUGAUCAUCUUGAUGUUCACACCAGCACUUUGGCAAGCUUCCACUGCUUUCUUCACACCUGGUCGACAUGGAUCUUUUAGGCCAACAAAGCCCAAAAGAAUGAAAGAGUUGUCUGGAACAUUUCCAUGCAUAUGUUCAUUAUCCUUCUGCUCAGCUUUUGGCACUUGCUUGUGUGCGAAUGCGAUACAUCUCAGGCUGCUGGCAGCCAUUCCUUCAAUUAUCCUGUCACAUUCUUCCUUAUCUGAUUCCUCUAGAGGUUUUACGUUCCCUUCUAGAUCAUAGUAAUGGGAGCACAUUCUUGAAAUCAUUUCAGCAGCACCUUUCCAAUGUGCAUGAAUUGUGCCAUCACUGUUGUUCUUGAUCAGGACACCACUCUUCUUUUUCUCUGAAUUGAAAGCUUCCACAUGUAGAAUGUUGAAAUUUCUUUUGAUUUGAUCCAUCUCCAUAUUCAAUUCCGUAACAGCCCAUGAAAGAAUAGCUUUUUCAGUAGGGCUGCCUGAGAACUCAAAGUUGGAAGAUGGAUCGGAGGACUUGAAAACACUACCUGUAGUGUUUAAUCCAACCCCUUGAUGGAAUAGUUCAAGAACUUUUGCCGAAAUUGAUGUAUGAAUUUCUGCCAUGGCUUUUGCAGUGAAAACAUUGUCUCCAGUGAUCAUCUUGAUCUUCACACCAGCAUUCUGGCAAUCUUCCACAGCUUUCUUCAUGCCAGGUCGACAUGGAUCUUUUAGGCCAAGAAAGCCCAAAAGAAUUAUAGAGUUGUCUGGAACAUUUCCAUGCAUAUGUUCAUGAUCCUCCUGCUCAGCUUUUGGCACUUGCUUGUGUGCGAAUGCAAUACAUCGGAGGCUGCUGGCAGCCAUUCCUUCAAUUAUCCUAUCACAUUCUUCCUUAUCUGAUUCCUCGAGAGGUUUUACGUUCCCUUCUAGAUCAUAGUAAUGGGAGCACAUUCUUGAAAUCAUUUCAGCAGCACCUUUCCAAUGUGCAUGAAUUGUGCCAUCACUGUUGUUCUUGAUCAGGACACCACUCUUCUUUUUCUCUGAAUUGAAAGCUUCCACAUGUAGAAUGUUGAAAUUUCUUUUGAUUUGAUCCAUCUCCAUAUUCAAUUCCGUAACAGCCCAUGAAAGAAUAGCUUUUUCAGUAGGGCUGCCUGAGAACUCAAAGUUGGAAGAUGGAUCGGAGGACUUGAAAACACUACCUGUAGUGUUUAAUCCAACCCCUUGAUGGAAUAAUUCAAGAACUUUUGCUGAAAUUGUUGUAUGACUUUCUGCCUUCACGUGCUGUAUGCCUAAGAAAAACUUUGUGACAGUCAUCUUGUUUAAUGUAAGAGUACCUGUUUUGUCUGUACAGAUGAUGGUUGCAGAGCCCAUAGUCUCACAAGCAGAGAGCUUCCUCACUAUUGCCUUAUCAUCCAUCAUUCUCUUCAUCAGGUAAGCCAGAGUAAGUGUAAUAGCUAAAGGUAAGCCUUCAGGAAUCGCGACAACAACAAUGAUAACAGCAUUAGCAACAAUUCCCACCACAGCAUUGAUCACAUCACCGGAUGAUGUCUUGCUCCGGUUGAAUUUUUUAUUCCCAUUCUCAUCUUUUGUGGUCCCGGUAAAGUAUAGUACCAAUUGGACAACAAAAACCAAGAAGGCAACUAACCAUCCAACUUUAUCAAUUGAUGAAGUGAGCUUUUCGAGUCGUUCUUGGAGAGGGGUGUGCUCGUUAGGGCCACUGCUAAUUUCGCUCAUCAUUUCACCCCAGGUCGUGUUCAUGUUAACCGAUGUCACAAGCAUCAUUCCAUAGCCAUCGACAACCUUAGUGCCAGAAAUCAAGAAUGGAUUUUGGCUGAUAUUAAUCUCUACAUGAUCACUUUCACCUGUCAUGCUAGAUUCAUCCACUUGUAAAGAAUGACCCUGUACCAAAAUCCCAUCAGCAGGGACUUGAUCUCCAAUCUUCAAGCAAAUGACAUCUCCAACCACAAUUUCAAAUAUUGAUAUCUGUUGGCGCCUCCCCUUUCUAACAGCUUCUACUUGAAUAAUUUUGGUCUCUUUAGAAAGCUUAUCAAACUGUCUGGUUUGUCUAAAAUGACUAGUAGACGAAACAGUGACGAAAAGUAACACAGCGACAUAAAUACCCCCUCCAUCACACCAUCCUUCUUUCACUCCAUCCUCCUUAAUUCCCAAUACAAUAGACAGAGCACCCCAGAUCAAAAGUACAAUGAUGGUGGGAUAUUUGAAUGAUUCCCAAACAAAAAUGAAGAAACUCUUAGCAGGUGCCUUACGAUACAUGUUGCUUCCAAAAGCCUCAUGUCUACGUGCAACGUCUUCUGGAUCUCCGCUUACACCAUUAGUUGUAUCAGUUUUGAGAGAAGCAGCAACACCUUGUACACCUCCAAGGUCAGCAAGUUCGUCAGUGUUUUUAUCUUUGACAAGCUUAGCUAGACUUGAGUGAUCAAUGCCUGAGAAAAAAGGGUGGUCUUGAACUACAUCAAUCGCGAUUGUAUCACCAAGUACUUUUGUUGGAUUGUAAGCAGGUGAUCCAUGACUAUAAGAUGGCACAAUGGCAGGUGAUACCUUAUUUUUAAAAGCUCUGGAACAGUAGAUGGUAGCAAACGCUAAGUGCCAUCUUUUUUUGUUGGAGGAUUCAAUUUCUGCUGGAAAAUCAGUUGUAAUAUUGUUCAUGCAGAGAUAACGCAAAUUUUCUUGAAACAUGUUGGAUGGAAAAUGUGUAUAAUAACAAUAAAUUAAAAGGAUAAAAAUAUCAAACAAUUGAUUGAAUGUGUUUUGGAGUGAAGUAGUAAUAAUCCCCUAAAGCUCAACCCGUCCCACACCACCCCAUUGUCAUCUCUACGCGUAAUCAAAUCAAUGAAGUUCUGUUGACUGUACUUCACAGAAAUUUCUACUUCCUGCCUUUGAAAAUGAUACAUUUGGAAUGUAUCUAAUUUUGAGUUUAAUCAGAACUUUACAUGUAAUUAAGUUCUACAAUUUAAUUUUUGGAUAAUUACAACCCUAAACACUUCGGUCAACUACAAAAUGUACACCAUCCAAGAUAUGUAAUUUGAGUUUAAUGGGGGAACUUUACACAAACAAUAUAAUUAGAGUCUUAACUUAAUAUAUAUAUGUUAGCACUUAGCAGUGUAAAAGAUCUUGGCUUUUAUACAGUCAAAUUUUUUUUAUCAGAUAUUACAGCAGAUUAGCAUGUAAUGAUUUCUUAAUUACUGCGAUAUUUCAUUAUUCUGUAGUUAGAAAAACUAUCCAUCUCACAUUAUUUAACAAAAUAAACAAUUUGAUGCACUAAGCUUUUAUUGUGUAUAGAAUUUAGGAAAGGACCAUACCACAUGAGUUUCUUUUUGUUACAAAUUGGUCACACCGACAGAUAACAAUAUGAUCCGUGUGGGGUAGUAUUAAUUAUGAAAUGCAGGGAAAGCAGCCAUUUGUUCGUUUCAAAAUGUGAAAAAACUUAAGAUGGUAGAGACGUAACCAACAAAAAUUGCUUGAGAUUGACCGAUACAUUUGUACUCUUUUAUCUCCAUUUUCACAUUUUUAUCUCUCACUCACCACCCCCACCAGUUCCCCUCAUCUGCACCCCUCUUCUUUUUGUCUUUUUUUUUUUUUUUUUUUUUUUUUUUUUUUACUUUUGUCUUUUUUCAUAUAUUUUUUUUUCACCUAAUGUAGUUCUUUAAAAAUUGAAAUGUGGAAGAUAAAAACAAAAUCCAUUUUUUCGUUUGGUAAUUGAGAAAAGGUUAAAACUAAAAGACAACAAAUCACAUAGUAAUGUAGGGUCCAUACCCAUUAUACAUAAAAUAUAAGGAAAGGUAAAUGCAGGAAAGGUUGAAAGAUUUAUUGCUUAUUGUUAAAGUCAACAAAUGCCGCAACAAACCAAAGCUCACCAUUUAUUUUUCAACUAAAAUCUUACCAAAAAAUCUGCAUAUUUGCAUAUUUGCGAAGGUUGAAUUUUUGGUGUUUUUAUGUUGUUACUAGUGACAUCAUUAGGAGUAGAAUUUUUGGUGUUUUUAUGUUGUCACUAGUGACAUCAUUAGGAGUAGAUUUCUCCUAUAAAUAGAGAGUCCUUACUUAUUUCAAAUACACCAAUUCAUAGAGAAAGAAAAAUAUAGAGAGCUGUGAAGUUUUCAUAGACUAUACAAGUCUUCUAUAAAUGGAGCUCAUUAGCUCAUUUAUAGAAUACACCAAUUCACAGAGAAAAAAAAAUAUAGAGAGCUGUGAGGUUUUCAUAGACUAUACAAGAAAAUAGUCUGUGAAGAAAAAUAGAGUGUGAGCGAUAUUUUAGUAAGGUGAAAAUCAAAAGAGUGUUAUUCCUUUUGAGUGUGUAGUAGUCACUUUGAGUAUUGUAUUCGUGACUACACGAUGUAAAAUUCCUUACUAUAGUGAUAUCAGUUGCUCCUCUUGGCCCGUGAUUUUUCCCUUAUUAAAAAGGGUUUCCACGUAAAAUUCUUGGUAUCAUUAUUUUCCCAUUUUAUUUCUAUCAUUUGGCCAUAUAUAUUUUUGUGUCAGUCCGCCUUUUUUCCCAACAAGUAAAGCAUGCACUACAUACAAAGAAAAUAAUGAGGCUGAUACGAUAAAAUAUAAGUUAAUUUAUUUUAUUUGACUUUUUUUCACAAAAAUUUGGAAACUAUCUGAAUAUUAACGAAAAUACUAGAAUUAGAGAUGAUUGAUUAAGCUAAAUUUAAACAAUUUUUAUAUAUACGUACUUAAAAACAAUUUUUAAGUGCUAAAGUUGAAUUUAGAAAUAAAAAGACAAAAAUGUUGAAGUUGAAAUAAUGUAUUUUUUUUUUUUUUAAAAUGUUAAAUAACUUAUUUGUUAAGAUAACUAAAACGUCUGUAAAAAUUUUAAUAUUCAAAAAUAAACUUAUUAUCCAACAUUUUUAGUAGUAUCAAACAAACUCAAAACACAAAUAAUAGUAUUAGUAAACUAAGUCAAAACUCAAAUUAAUGGCAUUUCAUUCACUUUAGAAUAUAAAUUAAUUAGAUGAAAUUAUUUUUAAUAAAUAUAAAUUAUUUAUUUAACUAGCAUGCAGUAAUUAAUAAUCUGACCAAAAAAAUCAAUUUCCCCAUAACUGCUUAUCCAAAAUUAACAAGCAAACUCAUAAAUAAAAAUAAGAAAAAGAAGAGCUUUUUUCUUCCUUUUUGUAUCGAUUUUAUUUUGUAUGGCAAAUCUAUAAAAUAAAAUGAACUAUUUGUACCAUACAUUAAAAAAAAAUCAAUCAAAAAUUCAAUUUUUUAAUUGUAUUUGGAAGUUGAUUUUAUUAAUAGAUAGAAAAAUGAAAAUAAUAAAAAAUAAAAAAGAAGAGAGAUGAGCGGAUAGGGGAACUGCGUGGGGUGGUGAGUAGGAGGUAAAAGAGUGAAAAUGGACCACAAAUUCAAAUAUCAAAAAUUGAGAAAAUGGACCACAAAGGGAAAGGUUGAACAACACUGUGCGUUCCAGACCUGAUCGAGAAAGAGCGUUAAUAGUUGUGUGUGUCGUACGGGAAACCGAGUUCGCACUCCCAUGUUGCCAACACAACAAAAGGGGCUUUACUUUCAGUAACUUCUUUCACUCGUUCUGUCGUCUCAUUUCAGCUUUCAACCUCACAUAACAAUACCUAGUUUUGAAAUACAGUAAAAUCUUACAAAAUUAAUAUUCAGUUAAUUAAUAAUCUCUCUAAAAUAAUAAUUUUCUCCAAUUCCUACUUGGGACAAGGGAAAAAAUUACCAAUCAUUUCAAUAAGAUAAUAUAAUAUAUUUUCAAAAGACCCAUAUAUAAAUAUAUGAUUCCGUAAAAUAUGAUGCCACAUGUUUUUCCUUUGUGCCAAAGAAUAUGGGUCCCGCGUAUUCUUUUGGCUCAAGUAAUUUUGACAUAUAAAUUGCUCAUUACUACACAUAUCAGCCAUGGUACAUUUGGGAAAAUCUUAGUAGCUAAGUUAGUUGACUAUCUGAACGGCUGAACUCACACCUUGCUGGUGAGAGUUCAAUUCCCUAAUUCCCUCCCAAUUCCGCUUUCUCCACCCCAAUUUUUAUUUUUUUUUUGAAAAACCACGGUACAUUUUACUAAUUUUAUUAUCAAUUGUUAAUGUAAAUAAAUAUUUCAAAUAACACUUUACCUAAAGUGAGAAAUCACUUAUUUUCCUUGAAAAUAUUUUCAGAGAAAACAUUUACUUUGUACCAUAUACAAUUGUCUAUACAAAUGAAGUCUUAAUCACUAUAAUUGACAAUAUUCUUAUCUACUUAUAAGAUAGGAUUAGAGUUCCAAAUUUCUAAAGUAUAAAAACCAAAAAAAUGUUUAAACCUAGAAUUGAAUCCUUAACACUCGAAACUCAGAAGUCUAAUCUUAAGAGGGAAGGUGGCAAACUCAAUUCUCUACUUUUGAACCUAAGUUUUAUUGAAUUUUAAUAUGUGAAUACUGAAAAGAGGUGAAAAAUCGAAAUUUAAUGCUUUUUAAGGUGACCUCAAGUUAAUAUACGAUAAUAAUUAAGUUGGUCAACUUUUUUAUUUUGAUAUGUAAUGAAUUUCAUAAUAUCUAUAGUCUGUGCAAAAGUUAUUGGGUUCUCAUGAACACAUAUUUAUUAUCUAGUGGAGAUCAAAAUAACCAUGAGGGAGGAAGGGUAACGGGAACCUAAUUCAUAGUCCAUUCAUUAUGAUCAUGGAUGGACAGAACCAAUUAGAAGUGCAAAUCACACAACCGAAGCUAACUAGGAAGUAGACCCUCAAAGUCUUCCGAAGAAGCAAGCUUCAACGCUCCCCAAGACAGCAGAGCUAUCAUUGUGGGGAGGUUAAAGAGCAUCCAACGCGCCAUGACUAGGACUCGUGUUAGAGGAGAGAUCUGAUAUUAGGUAGAAGGUGUUUAAAGAAAUUGCAAAUGCCAGUCUAAAGCUUCAAAUUUUUGAACAUAUUAUCAGCUCAAGUAUGUUGACAAUCAUAAACGAAGUACACUAUGGUUUUUAAUAUAAAUAAUGGAAUGUAACAUAAAUCAAUUAAUCAAAACAGAUACUAACUAGCUUAUGCAAAAAACAUAGGUAACACCUAAAUCUACUCAUUUAAACAAGGCUUUCAAGUAAUUCAACCUUAGAUAACUAAAGAAUGGUCUCUCUGGGACAUUUAUGCACUUGACAAGCCAACCAAUUGGCCAAGAUGCAGCUGCAAAUCCAAUGCAAAUUCCCCAUUGCCCCCAAUUCAGCCUCUCUGUAUUUGCAAACUUCUUUAGAAACUCCACCAUCACCACUUGGAGAACCAAUGUUAUUCCGAUGAUCGCCAUGAACAACUUGUUCUUGUGUAUUCCCUUAAAGACAUUCUUCUUCUCCAGGUUUCGCGCGUUGAAUUCAUUGAACACUUGGCAAAGAACAAACGUGUUGAAGAUCAACGUAUCGUUUACUCUCUUGCUGACACCAAAGAUUGAUUCUCCUCUGAAUUGUAAGGUCAGUAAAACAGCAAUCUGAUAUAAGGCCUGAGCCAUUAGAUUUCUCCACAUAAUGUUGGUGAUAAGCGGUGCAGUCCUACCGACUGGUUUCUUCUUCAUGAGUUCCUCGGUUGGCUUCUCUGUCGUCAGUGCCCUGAAUCCCCAUAGAAAGUCCUAUAUCUGCUUCCUUUAAAGCUGGUGCAUCGUUCGUUCCAUCACCUGUGACCGCGACCACAUGACCUUUCUUUCUCAAGCACUGCACCAUUAGAAGUUUGUCAAAAGGGGAUGAUCUUGCCAUCACACGUAUCUUCUCCACUCUCUCCAUCCGUACUUCAUCUGUUAGGUUGCGAAAUUCUUCACCUUCUAUGACUGCUCCUUCAUCUACUUCCUGAUUAGGAUGAAGAAUUCCACAUUCUGUUGCUAUGGCUUUUGCAGUGAACACAUUGUCUCCAGUGAUCAUCUUGAUGUUCACACCAGCACUUUGGCAAGCUUCCACUGCUUUCUUCACACCUGGUCGACAUGGAUCUUUUAGGCCAACAAAGCCCAAAAGAAUGAAAGAGUUGUCUGGAACAUUUCCAUGCAUAUGUUCAUUAUCCUUCUGCUCAGCUUUUGACACUUGCUUGUGUGCGAAUGCAAUACAUCUCAGGCUGCUGGCAGCCAUUCCUUCAAUUAUCCUGUCACAUUCUUCCUUAUCUGAUUCCUCUAGAGGUUUUACGUUCCCUUCUAGAUCAUAGUAAUGGGAGCACAUUCUUGAAAUCAUUUCAGCAGCACCUUUCCAAUGUGCAUGAAUUGUGCCAUCACUGAUGUUCUUGAUCAGGACACCGCUCUUCUUUUUCUCUGAAUUGAAAGCUUCCACAUGUAGAAUGUUGAAAUUUCUUUUGAUUUGAUCCAUCUCCAUGUUCAGUUCCAUAACAGCCCAUGAAAGAAUAGCUUUUUCAGUAGGGCUGCCUGAGAACUCAAAGCUGGAAGAUGGAUCGGAGGACUUGAAAACACUACCAGUAGUGUUUAAUCCAACCCCUUGAUGGAAUAGUUCAUGAACUUUUGCUGAAAUUGAUGUAUGACUUUCUGCCUUCACGUGUUGUUUGCCUAAGAAAAACUUUGUCACGGUCAUCUUAUUUAAUGUAAGAGUGCCUGUUUUGUCUGUACAGAUGGUGGUGGCAGAUCCCAUAGUCUCACAUGCGGAGAGCUUCCUAACCAUUGCCUGAUCAGCCAUCAUUCUCUUCAUGGAAUAAGCCAGAGUAAGUGUAACAGCUAAAGGCAAGCCUUCAGGAAUCGCGACAACAACAAUGGUAACAGCGGCAGCAACAAUUCCCACCACAGCAUUGAUCACAUCAUCAGAUGAUGUCUUGCUCCCGUUGAAUUCUUUGUUCCCAUUCUCAUCUUUUGUGGUCCCAGUAAAGUAUCUAACCAAUAGGACAACAAGAACUAAGAAAGCAACUAGCAACCCAACUUUACCAAUCGAUGUAGUAAGCUUGUUGAGUCGUUCUUGGAGAGGGGUUUGCUCAUUAGAAUUACUGCUGAUUUGGCUCAUCAUUUCACCCCAGGUGGUGUUCAUUCCAACCGAUAUCACAAGCAUCAUGCCAUAGCCAUCGACAACCUUCGUGCCAGAAAUCAAAAAUGGAUUUUGGCUGAUAUUAAUCGCGACAUGAUCACUUUCACCUGUCAUGCUAGAUUCAUCCACUUGUAAAGAAUGGCCUUCUACCAAAAUCCCAUCAGCAGGGACUUGAUCUCCAAUCUUCAAGCAAAUGACAUCUCCAACAACAAUUUCAAAUAUCGAUAUCUGUUGGCGCCUUCCCUUUCUAACAGCUUCUACUGGAAUAUUCUUGCUCACUUUGGAAAGCUUAUCAAACUGUCUGUUUUGUCUAAAAUUACUAAUAGACGAAACAGCAAUGACAAGAAACACAGCGACAUAAAUACUCCCUCCAUCGUACCAUCCUUCUUUCAGUCCAUGCUCCUUAAUUCCAAAUCCAAGAGACAGAGCAGCACAGAGCAAAAGUAUAAUGAUGGUAGGAUCCUUGAAUGAUUCCCAAACAAACACGAAGAAACUCUUAGUAGGUGCCUUACGAUACGUGUUGCUUCCAAAAGCCUCAUGUCUACGUGCAACGUCUUCUGAAUCUCCGCUUACACCAUUAGUUGUAUCACUUUUGAGAGAAGCAGCAACACCUUGUACACCUCCAAUGUUAGCAAGUUCGUCAAAGUUUUUAUCUUUGACAAGCUUAGCUAGACUUGACUGAUCAAUGCCUGAGAAAAAAGGGUGGUGUUGAACUACAUCAAUCGCAAUUGUAUCAUUCGAUACACAGAGUAUUUUUCUUGGAUUGUAGGCAGGUGAUCCAUGACUAUAAGCAGUUUUAAAAGCUCUGGAACAAUAGAUGGUCGCAAAAGCUAAGUGCCAUCUUUUUUUGUUGGAGGUUUCAAUUUCUUUUGACAAAUCAGUUGUGAUUCUGUUCAUGAAUAGGUAAUGCAAGUUUUCUUCAAACAUGUUUGAUUGAAAAUGUGUAUAAUAAUAAUGAAAGGACUAAAAAGAUCAAAUAAUUUGUGAUUGUGUUUUGGAGUGAAGUAGUAAUAAUCCCCUGGAAGUUAAUCAUAUUAUAUAAGUACUAAUACACCGCGUAAUCAAGUUGAUGAAGUUUAGUGGAGUGCAGUUACAUGGAUAUUUCCAUAAACCGCCUUUGGGUCUCCUUUAUUGCCAAUUUAGUGUCGUGCCAUUUUGUCAUCUAUGAAUGGUUAUCCCCUAUUUUCUUGCGGCCCACGAUCCAAUUAAGUUGGGCUUUUUAGUACAAGUGACCAAAUUGUUUAAUAAAGAGAAAAUUUUAGAAAUAGCAAACAUAAUAGACAUAAUAAAAAUUUAUAGUUAUAGUUUCGAUAAUUGCACUUUAUAGCUAUAGUUUUGUUUGUUAUGAAGGUUGUUGUUUGUAUAUUUUUGUCUGUUUGUAUAUUUCGCUUGCGAAUAUACAAAUUAUGUAUUUAUAAAUUUAUAAAUUUUUCAGAACUCCGUUUGUAUAUUUUGCUUGCUAAUAUACAAACAUGAUAUUUUAUAAUGAUUUUUUCAUAAAUCGUAUACAAAUAGCUACGGUAAGCAUAUACAAAAUUUUGGAUUUAUACAAUCAGGAAUCAAAUUAUACAAAUUUUGGAUUUCUACAAAUCAGGCGAAUAGCAAGAAUUGGGGAAACUGUAGCUAUAGUAUUUAAUAUAGGCUAAAUGUUUGCUAUUCUGCAUAGUUUCCCUUCAAUAAAACGGCUAUAUUUAUAUGUAUGUAUUGAUAUUGUAUGAAUAGUACUCCCCUCGUCCCAUUUUAUAUGAGUUAUUUUGAUUCGACAUGAAAUUUAACAAAAGAAGGAAGAGUUUUGAAACUUGUGGUUUAAAAUAAAUGAUAGAUAUUUGUGUGGUUAUAAAUCGCUUCAUUAAGGAUAUAUAUGUAUUUUAAAGUACAAUUGCUACUUAAUAUAGAAAUGUGUCAUUCUUUUUGGGACUGACUAAAAAGAAAAAACAGUCAUAUAACUGGGACAGAAGAAGUAUAUACUAGGUGUAUAUAUAUGAUGUAUAACUAUAUAUUAUUUUUGGUAAUAAUUGAUAAUUAGACUCAAUAGAGAUUAUGCUAAAAUUUUCCAAUUAAGUUUUAUAAUUGAAUUUUGGGAUAACUAUGAUCCUAAACACUUUAGUCAGCUACAAAACAUAUAUGUUGUCAAUACUUGUACUAAAUAUACAUAAAAUAUACAUGAUCCAAGGUAUGUAAUUCGAGUUUAAUUGAAAUUUUAGACAAUUAUAUAAUUAGAGUUCAAAUAAUAUAUAUCGUUGAUGUAAAAUAUCUUUUGCAUAAUCAGGUAAAAGGUAACAUUUACCACCUAUUAUAGCAGAUUAGCUAAUAAUGAUCUCUUAACUAUCGUACUAUUUCAUAACGCUUUAGUUACAUAAAAUUUUCACCUCACAUUGUUUGACAAAAUAAGCGAUUUGAUACAUUAAGUUUUCGCUAUAUGCGAAAUUAGGAGGACUAAACUCCUAACACAUAAAUGAUUUACGUAUAAGCUAAGUUAUGAUAAAUUAAUUAGUAUAUUUUAACUUAACCAUUAAGAAUACUUAUCAUUAUGUAGCUACGUUUCUUUUUGUUUACAAUUUGGUCAUGUCGACAAUAUGGUCCGUGUGUGAAGUAUUUAAGUAUUUGUUUCACAAAAUAUAAUUAAUGCCAUCACCUAGUUUUGAUAUAUAUGUAAAGUUCACCGACAAUGCUUAGGAGCACUUUAUAAAUCAAGAAAAAAAAAUAGAAAUAAGAUGCAAUUGAUAAUUAUGUGAUGUCUUACUAUAAUAAAUACUAGUAAUAAGGUAGCACAAGAAAAUCAAACAAAAUUUAGGAAUGAAAAAGGGUUCCAAAAAGAAAAUACUUAGACGUUGCAUAUAUCCACUCUCUUAAAAUCUUAGUUGGGGCAAUGGAUAUAGUAUUAUUGUGAUCGUUGGGGCAAUCAUAAUUAUUCAAUUUUUAAUUAUUAAGUAUGUCUAUUUUUUAGAUCUAUAUUUUAAUCAUUCAAAUUUUAAUUUUUAAGUAUUUCUUUUUCUGUGUUUUGCAAUCACAAUUAGAGUUUUAUAGAGAAACUAAAUAGGCAAAACAAUAUUGGAGCUCGAGUCCAACAAGGUAGAAACUAAGGUUGCAUAUUUGUCCGAUUUGAAUUUAAAGUUUAUCGAUUUAUCGGUUAUUGAUUUGCAGAUAUGCUAAACCGUAUUAGAUUAUUAAGAUAUCGCUUAUCGAUUAUCAGUGAUUAAUCGUUAUUGAUUUGAUUAUCGAUCUAACAGUUAAGAUUUGACACAAAAUAAUAAUAUAAUUGAAAAUCAUUUAUAAAAAAGGUGACAAACAAAAUAAAUCAUGCACACGAAUUGACAGAUUAAAUCUUGUUCAAAAGUAAACGGUAAACAUUAUAGGAUAAUCGGAAGUUUGAAAUAGCCACAAAUAAAAAUAUGAAACUAAACUCUAUAUCAAGUAUUUUAUAUACCGAAUGAUAUAAAUAUAAUUAUAGAUUAACCGGAAAAAAAACAUCAAAAUAUUAAAGAAGGAUAACCCAUAGUAAAAAUAAUCAAACCCAUUAUCAAAAUAGCUUAAUCAAUUACCCAUUACUAAUAAAUCAAUAAUUUCGGAUUAACAUUUCAAUUCAGAUGGUAGAAACAAUGUUUUUUUGUAAUAUCAUAGUGGCGCGCGAAAAGUAAUUGGAAAGGAAGGCUCUAAUUCUGCUAUCAGUGUCACAUGAUUCCAUUCAUCUUUCAACUUCCUAAUCUCCAAAUUGAUGUAACCAGGGCUUUGAAUUAAAGGUGACAUUAAGGUGUCAAAAUAAAAGAGCGGUAACAUAAGUCUUAAUUAUUGAGUGUAGAUGACAAUUAUGUGAUUAAUGAUUAAGGAUUGUGAAAUUGCCCUCAAAUUUAUAAGUUGGCAAUUUGGUCCAUUGAAUUAAAUGAAGGGUAAAAGGGUAAAUGACUAAAACCUAGUUUAACCAAUUUUGGUGGGAACCAAAAUUGGAGGGAAGCCACCACCAGCGAGCUGUACCAAAAGGGGGGAAAUAAAUCAUUUUCCCCCCGCCUCCCCCCGUAUUCCUCUUCUUAUUUUUCUUCUGCUUUGUUCUUGCUCUAUUCUUGCUUGGUUGCUUGCCUUUCUUCUUCCUGUUCUCUUCAUCUUCUUCUUCAUCUUUUCGUACAUUGUUGGUCUUGGCCGCUAGUCCUUGAGCUUUUUUCUUCUUCUUUUCAUUUUCUUGGAUAAGAUUUAGCUAAUCUAAUCAGUGGACCGGAUUUCGUUCUGUAUCAAUUGAAAUUACUUCAUAAGUGAUUGGGUGCACACAUCAUUGUUUUGGUAAGUAAAAUUAACACUUCUUUGAAAUCAUUCACAUCAUCUGGGUAGCCGCAAUUUUUUCAAUAAUUUGCAUUCGCGUUUCGAAUAGAUGGAUAUAUAUGUUGCAACAUAUGACUUAUACAUUUUGUCACAACAUGUGAUUUAUGUUUCACAACACAAUAGUUAUAUGUAGCAACGUAUGACUUACAUUUCGCAACAGGAUAGCCAUAUAUAUGUUGCUACAUAUAACUUACACAUGUGAUUUAUUUGUCACAAGAUAUCAUUUAUAUGUAGCAAAAUAUGACUUACAUGUCACCACAUAAUAGUCAUAUGUUGCAACAUAUGACUUACAUAUCGCCACAAAAUAGUCAUAUGUUGCAACAUAUGACUCACACAUUUUGUCACAACAUGUGAUUUAUGUUUCGCAACAGAAUAAUUAUAUGUAGCAACAUAUGACUUACAUUUCGCAAUAGAAUAACCAUAUGUUGCGACAUAUAACUUACACAUGUUGUCACAUGUGAUUUAUUUGUCAUAACAUAUCAGUUAUAUGUAGCAACAUAUGACUUACAUGUCGCCACAUAAUAGUCAUAUGUUGCAAUAUAUGACUUACACAUUUCUUCAUUAGUACUAAUUAUUUUUUAAUUAAUUUCUUCAGGUACAAUAAAUGGAGGGAUUAUUUGUAGGGAUUGAUUGUCGUGGUGAAUGGGUCGAGAAGAAAAAAUCGAUACAUUUGACGUUGGAAGGAUGGUAAGAAACGGGGAGGGUCGGUAGGGAUGACUAUCGAAAUAAAUAUUUUGUAUGAUGAUUUUGUGAAUUUAGUCAUGCAAAAAUGUGGAUACAAUUGUCAACUGAAAGAUCUUGUCAUGAGUUAUAUUCCCCAUUUUUUUCAUAAUGAGAAGGUCUUACCUUUUAAAAUAAAUGAUCAGCCUAGUUUGGUUGUUUAUUUGGGAGGAGCAGAUUGACCUCCCAUUUUAAGAGUCUACGUGGAUGAAAAUCCCAUCGAGGAGGAUCAUAAUCUAGAAGAAGACCAACAAGAUAUGUUAAAUGAUGAAUUUAAUGAUGUGGACAUGAAUAAUCACGAUGCUGAAAUUGGAAAAGAUGAAUUGUUGGACUUUGAGAGCAACAAUCCUCCUACACCUAUUGUUGGCAGCAACAUUCCAUGUUCUUCUCAAUCAUCACGUGUGAAUAAUGUUCAAGAUGAUGAAACUGAUUUUUUAUAAGGGAAUGACAUUCAAGAACAAGGAAGAACUGACAAAUUCAUUGAAAAUUGCUUGCUUGAAAAAAGAUUUUAAACUAAAAAAGGUGAUCAAUUCUCGUAAUGUGUUUUCUUUUAAAUGUUCAUAUCCGGAGUGCAAUUGGUGGCUGAGGGCUGUGAAAUUUACAAGUAGCGGCAGGUUUGUCAUUAGAAUCUAUGAAAAGUACCAUACGUGUGGUUCAAAGCAUCUUACAAGCCAUAAUUCCCAUGCCACGACAAAAGUCAUAGGUAAGUACUUUGAAAAUAGGUUUCUCACUGGUAAAGGCCUAUCCACAAGAGAUAUGUCAAAUCCACUCCGCACAGAAUUGGGUUGUAAGGUAAGCUAUUGGAAGAUUUAUAAGGGCAUGAAGCAUGCUAAGUCUAAUGUUAGGGGAACACAUGAGCACAAAUAUGCAGUGCUUAAUGUGUACCGUUAUAUGCUUGAAGUUGCAAAUCCAGGAAGCAAGACGACAUUGUCGCUAGAUGAAAAUGAGAGGUUCAAGUACUUCUUGUAUCAUAUGCCGCUUGGAUAACUGGUUUUCAAGAAAUGAGAAAAGUAAUAGCCGUUGAUGGGACAUUCCUGAGGAGCAAGUAUGAAGGAGUUUUGUUAUCGGCGGUGGCACAAGAUGCUGAGAAUCAUAUAUUUCCAGUGGUUUUUUGUGUUAAGGACAAGGAAUGCGAUGCCUCAUAUGAAUAUUUUUUUCAAAAUAUGAGAAGCUUUGUAGAUGAUACUGAUGAGUUGUGCAUUAUUUCUGAUAGGCAUCCAAGUAUUCGAAAGAUGGUUUCGACUAUCUACCCUGCAUCUCAUUAUGGUUGUUGCAUGAGACACCUUGGGGAAAAUAUUCGAAAUAACUUUCACAAUUCAAAAGUAGUGACCCAUUUUUAAAGCAGCAAAGGCGUACGAUGGAUGUAAGUUCAAUGACCAUUUCAAUCAAAUAAGAGAUUUGGUACCAAAGGCGGCUAAAACUCUUGAACGUAUUGGUUCCACACAUGGAGCAGGGAAUUUGCCAUGGAAAUAUGUACAUUAUUGUCUAUACCAUCUCGUUUGAGUUUAUUGUAAUUUUAUGUGUUUUGAUUGAUUUUUAUUUUUUGUUGUGUAGAUAUAACAUUAUAACGUCAAACAUGGCGGAGUUGGUGAAUUCUAUGUUUGAUGUUGAAAGAGAAUUUCCUAUUGUCGCUCUAUUUGAUGAAAUAAACAUGAGAUUUGCACUUUUAUUUCACCAGAGGCGUAUUGUGACAUCUUGCAAGUCUUAAAAAUUGGAAAAUUUCAUUUUUGGGAAGAAUUUGGAAAUCUGGAAAUUUGGCUAAGUAUGGGAAAAAAGUGAGUUUUUGGCCAACUUUGAGCAGUUAUAACUCCUAGCUCAGGAUGAUUUAGGAGAAGUUCCAGUUAUGUUUGCGAAUCUCGUGGAAUGAUCUUUCUAACGCCACCAAGUUUUCUCGAUUUCGAGUUCGUAUGAGUGAGUUAUGCCCUUUGGAAGUUGGGCAGUUGGCAGGGAAAUCCGUCCGGAAAUUNNNNNNNNNNNNNNNNNNNNNNNNNNNNNNNNNNNNNNNNNNNNNNNNNNNNNNNNNNNNNNNNNNNNNNNNNNNNNNNNNNNNNNNNNNNNNNNAUAUUAAGGUGUUAGACUGAUUUUAAAUCAGUUUUCCCUUUUUAAAAGAGUGAGAGUUAGGGCUUUUGAGAGAAGAGAGAAAGAAGAGGAGAAAGAGAAAAAUGAGCAAGGUUUCGUCAAAGAUCAUCGUGGAUAUCGUCGGGGGUGAUCCCUACUAGGUAUGUGAGUUCAUAGUGUUGGGAUGGUUCUUUCCCCACACGCCAAACUCAUUUAAUUUCGAGAAAAGAUUGAUUAUGUUUGUUGAAGUUGUUGGUUGAUUUGUUGAAGUUGUUGGUUGUGAUUGUGUUGAAAUUCUUGUUGAUUUGGGACAUGUUUUCGGUUGGGUUUUUGAGUUGAAAUCUAUUAUAUGUUGAGGGGUUUAUGAUUCUAAGUGUUUGGGGCUGGAACCUUUGAAGUUAAGAGGGUUUAGAGUUGGUAGCAUGAAGGAGAAAAGUCGGGCAGCUUACAUGAAGCAAGUUUGCGUCGCAGACUUGUUCCCUCUGUGAACAAAAUCUGCUUCGCAUCGCGGACAGGACACGGACUUCACUGUUUCAAAGAGUAAUUUUCGUAAUUUUUCUUAAGUUUAGCUGUCCUAAAUCAUCCCUAAACAUCAUAAGGUCUUUCUAAACACAAAUCUUGAAUCCUUGAAUCCAUAAUUCAAUUCAAGAAAGUUAGGAUCAAAGUCAAGUGAAAUUAGAGUCAAGCUUAGAAGUUAAGAAGUAAGUCAAAGCAAGUCUUUAAAGCUUUUCAAGAGUCUUUAUUGAACGUUUUAACUUCAUUUUAAGGCUCAAGUUUCAAGUCAAGUAAAGAGUAUUGAGUUUUAAGUUAAGCCAAGAGUAAAGAGUUGAGUUCUUUUCGCAAGUUAUUAGGGAACUAUGUAUUCCCAAAGAAGUUUUUAAAUGUUUUUACAUUUGAGUAAGAAAGGAACUAUGAUUCCAAAAGAGCCUUUGGGCUAGUUUUCAAGAAAGGGAACAUCGAUUCCAAGUGACCCUUUGGGCUAGAUUUUGAGCAAUUAUCUCAAACUAAAGAAAGUUGUGUUUAAAACAAUUAUGAGCUAAAGUAUUUUGGGAGUAGUAUUGAGCACCGAAUUGGGGACGCGAGUUCAUAUUAACUCAACUCUCCAUAAGAACCAUGUAGCCAAACAUGGGAAUUAACGGACCAUUCUUUUAGAUGAUCACGUAAGAUUAAGCUAGUGGAUCCACUAAGUUAAGUAAGGUCCUAUAUCACGGCAAGGUAUAGGAUGGUACUUGGGCAACGUGAGUUGUGACGUUGUAUCAUCACUAGGGCUCAUAGUGGUGGUUGUCGGUUAAAGAAUCUCCCACUAAAGUUAUAUUACUUUCAUAUAAGUAAAGUUGAGUUUGNNNNNNNNNNNNNNNNNNNNNNNNNNNNNNNNNNNNNNNNNNNNNNNNNNNNNNNNNNNNNNNNNNNNNNNNNNNNNNNNNNNNNNNNNNNNNAGUCGGUGAAUUCUAUGUUUGAUGUUGAAAGAGAAUUUCCUAUUGUCGCUCUAUUUGAUGAAAUAAACAGGAGAUUUGCUCUUUUAUUUCACCAGAGGCGUAUGGAGCUGGUGAACUCUGCAAAUAGAUUUGUUCCUUCAAUUGAAAAAGACAUAUCAAAGUAUGUCAACGCGGGCAACAAAUUGUUAGCUCAUCAAAUCACUAACUACAAGUUCAGUGUCACUGGUCAUGGUGAUGUUGCUACGGUGGAUCUACAAAGAAGAAUUUGUACUUGUAGAAUUUUCGACUUGGACAAAAUACCUUGUCCACAUGCCAUGGCAGCGCUUCGAGCCCAAUAUGGUGCCGAUUUUGGAAAUCAGAUUUAUGAGUACUCCUCUCCAUAUUAUUCAGUGGAAAAAUACAUAGUGACAUAUUGUGAGAAAAUUCACCCGGUGCCACCUGAAGAUUCUUGGAUCGUCCCUUUGGAUGUCAUAGAGAGAGAAAUACCUACUCCAUAUGUUGAUCCAAGCAAACCUGGAGGAAGGAGAUUUAAGAGACGACGUGGAGUUGGUGAAUCAUUUCCAACAAGAAAAAAUAAGUGUUCCGUAUGUAGGGACUUUGGCCACAAAAGAACUACAUGCCCAAUUCGAAAUGCUCCAUAAGUGUUGUUGAAUUUUAAUGAAUGUUCUUUUUUAUUUGAGGAUGAUGUUCCCUAUCUUCUUAUCUUAAUUUGAAUCAAGUUAUGUUAUGUUAUUUAUAUAAAAUGUGUGAUUUGUUUAAUUAUGUGUUCUACUUACAACAGAAUAUUGCAUAUGUUCCAACAUAUGUCAAUUAUGUGUUAGAUUUUACAAUAGAAUAUUGCAUAUGUUCUAACAUAUGACAAUUAUGUGUUACAUGUACUACAAAAUAACGCAUAUGUUCCAACAUAUAUUAAUUAUGUGUUAGAUUUUACAACCUAAUAUUGCAUAUGCACCAACAUAUGUCAAUUAUGUGUUAGAUUUUACAAUAGAAUUAUUUGCAUAUGUUCUAACAUAUGACAAUUAUGUGUUACAUGUACUACAAAAUAACGCAUAUGUUCCAACAUAUAUUAAUUAUGUGUUAGAUUUUACAACCUAAUAUUGCAUAUGCACCAACAUAUGUCAAUUAUGUGUUACAAGUAUCACAUGAAACGCAUCUGUUCCAACAUAUUUCUCAUAAAUAAUUAUGUGUAAGGUGUGUGAACCAUCAAUCAAUCAUUAUUGUCAUUGGAACAACUUUCAAGAAAAAAAUUAAUUACAACUCUUCAUAUUUUACCCUUUUUUUUAAAAAAGAAAAAAGUACUUUCAGUUGAAAAGUCAAAAGUUGUGCCUCUUCUCUUCUCUUUUGUUCGUCUUCAGAAGUUGCAACUUUUCACACAUUUCCUGACAUUAUAUAAGAACACAACAAUAGAAGGUCCUUUCAUUUAAUUUUCUCCAAGAUGGAAAGGAAGAAUAAGAAAUCUUCAAAAAUGACUAUGAGUAUAAAAAACUACAUUGAAUCUCUUCCGAUGGAACUACUAAUUGAUAUCGUUGAAAGGAUUGUUUCCCACUCCCUCAAAGAUUUAAUGAGGGUUAAAUUAAGGUAUGUAUGUAUUAAUUAAUUUUCGCUCUUUAAUUUGAUUUUCUAACCAUUUGAUUUGAUUUCUUAGUUUGAGGGUCUUCAAUCAAAAGUUAAAAUGUUGCCGUUGUAAUUUGGCUCUCUUACAUGAUGUUUAAAUAUUUGUGUUAGAGAAUUCGAAUUUGUUUCAUUGUCAAACACAUGAUUUAUGGUAUAACAAUAUCCAAAUAGGUAACUGAAGAUGGUGUUUAAUUUCUAGUUUGAUAUAUUUGAAAUGUAUAUUGCGACUAAUAUUGGAUUCUAUUGGUGCAUAAAAGAGGUGAUGGCUACACGUUUGUAGAUAAAAGUAAACCGUGUGGUACCAUACAGACGUGAGGAUAUGAUAAUUAUUGUUGGAAGUUGCAGCAUUAACAGUAUUAUCUCCGUUCACUUAUGAUAUUUUUUUUCAUCAUAUUAAUAUGUAAAAAAAUGAAAUUUAUAGUAUUUUUUGUAUAAUUUUUGAAUAUCUAAAUUUUUUAUUUAAAAUAUCAAAUUAAUAUAAUUUAAUUUAACUUUAAAAAUUAAUCAAAUUAACUUUCGAAAAUCGCAAAUGACAAUUGAAAGUGAAUAAAGAGAGUAUAAAAGAUUGUUUGUCUUUUUGUUGUUGACUUGAGAUUGGUCUUUGUUUAAUAAGCUUAUAUAUAUAUAUAUAUAUUACUAUAUAAGAAGAGUGAAUAAAAUUCACUCUUCUUUUGACACGUGGCACCAUGGCCCACCUACUUUUAUUUUAUUUAAAUCAUAUAUCAUAUAUAUUACUAUAUAUAAUAUUAUUAUACUAUAUAAGAAGAGAGUCUAGGAUUUACUACCAUUGUUCCAAUAAAAUCNNNNNNNNNNNNNNNNNNNNNNNNNNNNNNNNNNNNNNNNNNNNNNNNNNNNNNNNNNNNNNNNNNNNNNNNNNNNNNNNNNNNNNNNNNNNNNNNNNNNNNNNNNNNNNNNNNNNNNNNNNNNNNNNNNNNNNNNNNNNNNNNNNNNNNNNNNNNNNNNNNNNNNNNNNNNNNNNNNNNNNNNNNNNNNNNNNNNNNNNNNNNNNNNNNNNNNNNNNNNNNNNNNNNNNNNNNNNNNNNNNNNNNNNNNNNNNNNNNNNNNNNNNNNNNNNNNNNNNNNNNNNNNNNNNNNNNNNNNNNNNNNNNNNNNNNNNNNNNNNNNNNNNNNNNNNNNNNNNNNNNNNNNNNNNNNNNNNNNNNNNNNNNNNNNNNNNNNNNNNNNNNNNNNNNNNNNNNNNNNNNNNNNNNNNNNNNNNNNNNNNNNNNNNNNNNNNNNNNNNNNNNNNNNNNNNNNNNNNNNNNNNNNNNNNNNNNNNNNNNNNNNNNNNNNNNNNNNNNNNNNNNNNNNNNNNNNNNNNNNNNNNNNNNNNNNNNNNNNNNNNNNNNNNNNNNNNNNNNNNNNNNNNNNNNNNNNNNNNNNNNNNNNNNNNNNNNNNNNNNNNNNNNNNNNNNNNNNNNNNNNNNNNNNNNNNNNNNNNNNNNNNNNNNNNNNNNNNNNNNNNNNNNNNNNNNNNNNNNNNNNNNNNNNNNNNNNNNNNNNNNNNNNNNNNNNNNNNNNNNNNNNNNNNNNNNNNNNNNNNNNNNNNNNNNNNNNNNNNNNNNNNNNNNNNNNNNNNNNNNNNNNNNNNNNNNNNNNNNNNNNNNNNNNNNNNNNNNNNNNNNNNNNNNNNNNNNNNNNNNNNNNNNNNNNNNNNNNNNNNNNNNNNNNNNNNNNNNNNNNNNNNNNNNNNNNNNNNNNNNNNNNNNNNNNNNNNNNNNNNNNNNNNNNNNNNNNNNNNNNNNNNNNNNNNNNNNNNNNNNNNNNNNNNNNNNNNNNNNNNNNNNNNNNNNNNNNNNNNNNNNNNNNNNNNNNNNNNNNNNNNNNNNNNNNNNNNNNNNNNNNNNNNNNNNNNNNNNNNNNNNNNNNNNNNNNNNNNNNNNNNNNNNNNNNNNNNNNNNNNNNNNNNNNNNNNNNNNNNNNNNNNNNNNNNNNNNNNNNNNNNNNNNNNNNNNNNNNNNNNNNNNNNNNNNNNNNNNNNNNNNNNNNNNNNNNNNNNNNNNNNNNNNNNNNNNNNNNNNNNNNNNNNNNNNNNNNNNNNNNNNNNNNNNNNNNNNNNNNNNNNNNNNNNNNNNNNNNNNNNNNNNNNNNNNNNNNNNNNNNNNNNNNNNNNNNNNNNNNNNNNNNNNNNNNNNNNNNNNNNNNNNNNNNNNNNNNNNNNNNNNNNNNNNNNNNNNNNNNNNNNNNNNNNNNNNNNNNNNNNNNNNNNNNNNNNNNNNNNNNNNNNNNNNNNNNNNNNNNNNNNNNNNNNNNNNNNNNNNNNNNNNNNNNNNNNNNNNNNNNNNNNNNNNNNNNNNNNNNNNNNNNNNNNNNNNNNNNNNNNNNNNNNNNNNNNNNNNNNNNNNNNNNNNNNNNNNNNNNNNNNNNNNNNNNNNNNNNNNNNNNNNNNNNNNNNNNNNNNNNNNNNNNNNNNNNNNNNNNNNNNNNNNNNNNNNNNNNNNNNNNNNNNNNNNNNNNNNNNNNNNNNNNNNNNNNNNNNNNNAGUCAUACAAAUUUAUAUCAUUCAUUUUGGACCACAAAUUUAAAAAGUCUUCAUUUCUUUUUUAAACUCCGUGGCGAAUCAAACUACCUCACAUAAAAUGAGACGGAGGAAGUAAUAUACAUUGGGCCCGCGCUGGGGCGGGAACCUAAUAACUAGUAUAUAUAUAUAUAUAUGUAUAUUGUAUUGGAUUCCAGCUUGGCUUAUAUUUAUGAUGAUUGAUGACUAUGACUUAUCAAAAGAAUGAAAAACGAUUGACGUAAUCAUGUAAUGAAGUAUUGGACACCACACAAAAAAAGAAGAAGCAAAAGGAACGAUCAAUCUUUGCAGCGCACCGGAUGAGAUUGUUUUUCCUUAAUAAAAAUUUUUUGAAUUCGAGAUCUUAAAAAAGUUCUUAAUUAAAAGCAUUUUUCUUUAAAUAGAGCCUAUAUGAAGCAAAUUCAAAAACAAUUAGGCUCCAACCAGCUAAGGUUAAAAGUGAGCACAAUGAUUGUUGAGUUGAUUUGUAAUUUCUGGGGGGUUUUAUAUGAUAGAAUACUUAUAUAAAGAAUAAUUUCAUGAUUGUUUAUUUAUCCUAACAAUAAAUACAAGAUUUUGUGUGAAUUAUUUAGAUUAUUGUUGCUAUAUUAUAUUUAGCGGCAAUAAUAAAUAUUCUAUAUAAAUAUAACUAAAGACUUAAGCGAUUUUGGAUAUAAUAAUCAAUACUCUAUAUAAAUGUAGCUAAAGAUUUUAGCGAUUCUGGAUAUAAUAACAUUAACUCAAUUGUUUCUAAAGGAAAAAUCUAUUGCCACUAAUUUUUGUUGUUGUAGGGGUCGUUUGAUAGAGUACAUUCGAAUAAUGUAGAAUAUGGUGUAUCAGUUGUAUUUAGUAAUGGUUGCAUUAAUAAAAUGUUGGUAGUUAUACUGACAUUAUUUAGUAAACAAUACUUAUUUGAUUUGAUGUAUUAGAAACAACAAACCUUUCAUAACUUUUAUUUAAAAAAUUAUUUACAAAAAUACCCUCCACACUCUUAAGCUUUGGAAAACGAAAAAUGUAUUAAGAGGGAUUUGAGGAAUAGUUCUGUCAUUAAUCAAUCUAAUGCAUGUGUUGAACCCUUUGUAUUAUUAAUACAUGAAAAUUCAUGAUAUUAGUAAUAUACACUUCAAUACAUAAUAGAGUAUAUAACCAAUGAAAAUUCAUGAUAUUAGUAAUAUACACUUCAAUACACAAUAGAGUAUAUAACCAAUGAAAACUCAUGCAUACAUUAUUUUUUCUAACACUACCAAAGUACUAGAUUCAAGCUUGGAUAAUAGUUGUAAUACACUUAUCAAAGAAGUAAGAAAAACGGAAGAUUGGAUUAUUAUCAUGCAUGAAAUGAAGAGGCUACUAAAGGAUCAUCCCUGAUACACAUUCCGAGGGAGGCUAAUGCAGUAGCAGACUUACUAAUAAAAUACGGAAGAAGAAUGAAAGACCCAUAGAUGAUCAAGAAUCAAACUUUGAUUUUUGAAGCAUCUCCGUCACUAGUAAUAGAUGCAUUAGAAAGAGAUGUGACUGGAACUAUAUCUCAUAUACUAGUUCCACUUUUGAAUGGUUGAACAUAUUUAACUAAAUAAAAUCCUUCUGUUAACAACAAACUAAUACUAUAGCAACAAACUAGCUUAUGGACCAAAAAAAUAAAAAUGAACAUCUAAAUUACUAUAUUUUAACCUGAUAUAACUGAAGAUUGGUCUCUCUGGGACAUUUAUGCACUUGACAAGCCAACCAAUUGGCCAAGAUACAGUUGCAAAUCCAAUGCAAAUACCCCAUUGUCCCCAAUUCAACCUCUCUGUAUUUGCAAACUUUUUAAAAAACUCCACCAUCACCACUUGGAGAACCAAUAUUAAUCCGAUGAUUGCCAUGAACAACUUGUUCUUUUGUAUUCCCUCAAAGACAUUCUUCUUCUCCAGGUUUCGCGCGUUGAAUUCAUUGAACACUUGGCAAAGAACAAACGUGUUAAAAAACAAAGUAUCGUUUACACUCUCAUUGACACCAAAGAUUGAUUCUCCUUUGUAUAGUAAGGUCGAUAAAACAGCAAUUUGGUAUGUAGCCUGAGCCAUUAUAUUCCUCCACAUAAUAUUCGUGAUAAGUGGUGUAGUCCUACCAACUGGUUUCUUCUUCAUGACUUCCUCGGUUGGCUUCUCAGUCGCAAGUGCUAAUGCCCCUAAUGUGUCCAUGAUCAAAUUUACCCAUAGCAACUGUACUGAUGUUAGUGGUUCCUCACCAUACAAAACAGAAGCUACAAAAUUGAUCAUGAGGGCAGCCACAUUAGCUGUGAGCUGAAAUUGGAUGAAUUUCUGGACGUUGUUAUAGACACAUCUUCCCCAUAUCAGAACUGUGGCAACUGAAGCAAAGUUAUCAUCCAAGAUGACAAUAUCAGAACUUUCUUUAGCUACUUCAGUGCCCUGAAUCCCCAUAGAAAGUCCUAUAUCUGCUUCCUUUAAAGCUGGUGCAUCGUUCGUUCCAUCUCCUGUGACAGUGACCACAUGACCUUUCUUUCUCAAGCACUGCACCAUUAGAAGCUUGUCAAAAGGGGAAGAUCUUGCCAUAACGCGUAUCUUCUCCACUCUCUCCAUCCUUUCUUCAUCUGUGAGGCUGCGAAAUUCUUCACCUUCUAUGACUGCUCCUUCAUCUACUUCCUGAUUAGGAUGGAGAAUCCCACAUUCUGUUGCUAUGGCUUUUGCAGUGAAAAACAUUGUCUCCAGUGAUCAUCUUGAUGUUCACACCAGCAUUUUGGCAAUCUUCCACAGCUUUCUUCAUGCCAGGUCGACAUGGAUCUUUUAGGCCAACAAAGCCCAAAAGAAUGAAAGAGUUGUCUGGAACAUUUCCAUGCAUAUGUUCAUGAUCCUCCUGCUCAGCUUUUUGGCACUUGCUUGUGUGCGAAUGCAAUACAUCGGAGGCUGCUGGCAGCCAUUCCUUCAAUUAUCCUGUCACAAUCUUCCUUAUCUGAUUGCUCGAGAGGUUUUACGUUCCCUUCUAGAUCAUAGUAAUGGGAGCACAUUCUUGAAAUCAUUUCAGCAGCACCUUUCCAAUGUGCAUGAAAUGUGCCAUCUGUGAUGUUCUUGAUCAGGACACCACUCUUCUUUUUCUCUGAAUUGAAAGCUUCCACAUGUAGAAUGUUGAAAUUUCUUUUGAUUUGAUCCAUAUCCAUGUUCAAUUCCAUAACAGCCCAUGAAAGAAUAGCUUUUUCAGUAGGGCUGCCGGAGAACUCGAAGCUGGAACAUGGAUCAGAGGACUUGAAAACACUGCCUGUAGUGUUUAAUCCAACACCUUGAUGUAAUAAUUCAAGAACUUUUGCUGAAAUUGAUGUAUGACUUUCCGCCUUCAUGUGGUCUUUGCCUAAGAAAAACUUUGUCACGGUCAUCUUAUUUAAUGUUAGAGUACCUGUUUUAUCAGUACAGAUGGUGGUGGCAGAGCCCAUAAUCUCACAAGCGGAGAGCUUCCUCACCAUUGCCUGAUCAGCCAUCAUUCUCUUCAUGGAAUAAGCCAGAGUAAGUGUAAUAGCUAAAGGCAAGCCUUCAGGAAUCGCAGCAACAACAAUGGUAACAGCAGAAGAAAAAAUUCCCACCACAGCAUUGAUCACAUCAUUGGAUGAUGUCUUGCUCCCGUUGAAUUCUCUGAACCCAUUCUCAUCUACUGUGCUCCCAGUAAAGUAUUGUACCAAUUGGACAAUGAGAACCAAGAAGGCAGCUAACAAACCAACUUUAUCAAUCGAUGAAGUGAGCUUGUCGAGCCGUUCUUGGAGAGGGGUGUGCUCGUUAGAGUCACUGCAUAUUUUGUUCAUCAUUUCACCCCUGGUCGUGUUAAUGUCAACUGAUGUCACAAGCAUCAUUCCACAGCCAUCGACAACCUUUGUGCCAGAAAUCAAGAAUGGAUUUUGGCUGAUAUUAAUCUCUACAUGUUCAGUUUCUCCUGUCAUGCUAGAUUCAUCCACUUGUAAAGAAUGACCUUGUACCAAAAUCCCAUCAGCAGGGACUUGAUCUCCAAUCUUCAAGCAAAUGACAUCUCCAACCACAAUUUCAAAUAUUGAUAUCUGUUGACGCCUCCCCUUUCUAACAGCUUCUACUGGAAUAUUUUUGCUCACUUUGGAAAGCUUAUCAAACUGUCUGUUUAGUCUAAACUUACUAAUAGACGAAACAGCGAUGACAAGAAACCCUGCGACAUAAAUACUCCCUCCAUCAUACCAUCCUUCUUUCGGUCCAUGCUCCUUAAUUCCAAAUCCAAGAGACAGAGCACCCCAGAGCAAAAGUUUAAUGUUGGUGGGAUCUUUUAAUGAUUCCCAAACAAAGAUGAAGAAACUCUUAGCAGGUGGCUUACGAUACGUGUUUCUUCCAAACACCUCAUGUCUACGUGCAACAUCUUCUGGAUCUCCGCUUACACCAUUAGUUGUAUCACUUUUGAGAGAAGCAGCAACACCUUGUACACCUCCAAGGUUAGCAAGUUCGUCAAUGUUUUUAUCUUUGACAAGCUUAGAUAGACUUGACUGAUCGAUGCCUGAGAAAAAAGGGUGGUCUUGAACUACAUCAAUUGCGAUUGUAUCAGUUGAUACACCAAGUACUUUUGUUGGAUUGUAGGCAGGUCCAUGUAGUGCUUUAGUGCUGGUCUUAAUUUUAAAAGCUCUGGAACAAAAGAUAGUAGCAAAAGUUAAAUGCCAUCUUUUUUGGCUGGAGAAAUCAACUUCAGAUGACAAAUCAAGUGUUAUGUUCAUGCAGAGGUAAUGUAAGUUUGCUUGAAACAUCAUGUUCAAGUCUUUCUUUGACUAUGGAUGAACAAAUUUGUUUCAUGGAAGUUCCUUUUAUAGUGGUAACAAAAUUUGCCUAGACUGCUAGGAGUACAGCGACAGUUACUGACUUAUGUAUGUUUCCAUUUAAUUCCCCAAGCAUUUCCAGCUCCCUCCUUCCACACAGACUGCUAGGAGUACAGAUAUGAUAUGCUUGGAAGUUGCUCUCAACACGCCCCUUCACGUGGAGCUUUGCCUGUUCUGAUAUCAUGUUAAAGUGUGUGACUAUUUUCUCAUCUAAAACUGUUAGAGAGGGCACACUUUUAUUAGUUAAUUAUAUUUAUAUUCUCAAUAGCAAUAACAGACUAUAAUAUCAUGCUUAUCUUUUUGUUCUUGAUUUGAGCGUGGUCUUUGUUUAAAGCUUAUAAGAAUAUUCAAUUCGUCCCAAAAUAAGUGAAGCUUUAGUUCAUUUCAUGUCCAUUAAGAAAAAUAAUACUCCAAUAUAAGAUAUAGUAUACUAAGUUAUUCAUAUUUUAUUAGAGAUAAGUGUCAAAAACACACAUUUCUUUCAUACCUAAACUAUCACUUAUUAAUUUGAGAAACACACCUCUCGUUUUUAUACCACUAUCGAUCAUCAUGGUGUGUGUAAUACACUCUCUCCCUUAUUUUAAAAAAUCUCAUAUCACACUCCACAUGAACAAAACAUUCAACCUUAAUAUUAUGUGUGUUUUUGACACUUAUCUCUAUUUAUUAAAUGUUUGUUUAGAAUUGAACAAUACUAAGAAGAAAUGGUAAGAGUAUAGUUCAAAUAAUUACUCUCAUUAUUGUCAUAGUUCCAUUGUCUAGAAAAUAUGCAUGGAGUUAGAGGUUUCCAUAUUUGAUACUUCAUUUGUCUCAAUUUAUGUGACACAAUAAAAAUUUCAAGAUUCAAAAAUUUUAAUUUUGACUAUGAAUUCAAAUAUAGAAGUUUUAAGUAUUUUGAAAUGAAAUUUAUAUAUUUGAAAACUAUGUAAAAUGUACUGUAUAUCACAAUAAUUAACAACUCAAAAAUAUCUAAUAGACAUAUGUUAAUAAAAGAAAAUUUUAAUUGACUUUCGAAAUUUCAACAGUACAACAUAAAUUGAAACAAAAGGAAUAAUAACCCAAUAGGCAACAAUAUAAGGAUUUAAAAAAAAAAAAACAUAAUUCUGUGAAUUUUAACUGUAGAAUAAUAAAGCCGAAAUUUUAAUAAUAUAUAUAUAUAUAUAUAUAUAGUUUUAUAAACUAAGGUAAACCGUGUUCAUUAGUGUUUUUUUUUGUUUUUUUGUUUUUAAUUUAUACCACUAGACCAUGUCUAGGGACCUUUUAUUAUUAAUAUAAUUUAAAAAAAAAACUCAACAGACACAUAACUUUGAGCAGUAGUCUUUGUUUAAGCUAAUUAGGGGUCAUUUUUCUUCAAAAUUAGGUUAAUUAUCUUGAAAAUAUAUAACAACUACGCACUUCAACGUCAAAAAAGAAAUAAGGUUUGAAAAAGAUGAGGUGUACGAAAUAUUUUAUCCUUAUCUUAUAUAAGAUACUGUUUUCGAUGACCACGACUACAACACUUAUCCAAAAAGCAAAACGGGAAAGUAUUAAAUCUCCUUAACGAAGUUUACAGUAAUUUAAUAUAAUACGUGUUGAAUGGCGUCAACAAACUCUACAUUAGUUGACUGUAACACUUGUGCAACAAGUUUUGAAGCCACAGUUAAUUACAACAUGCCUAUAUAUAUAUAUAAAAAAAAAAAUUCUAGGAAAAGAAUAUAUGGAUUGAUCUCAAUCCAAAGACAGGUGUAAAUAAUUUUUUUUUAUAUAUAAUUAGUAUAAUUUAACAUGAUCCACGAAAUUGCUUUCUCCUUAUGAAUUGGUUACUUAAUUACCUUUAAAUUGAAAUUGUUUAAUAGUGACAAUACACAAGUUAAAUCGAAAACUUUCAAGCUUUCACUUGCCCCAGUUAAUACUUUUGACUCUUCGGUAUAUAUAUGGUAAAAUUAGUCCAUAAAAAUAAAAUGUGUAAUCCAUUCAAGUUUGAGAUUUAUUUGCUUAAGCCGUCAAAAAUUAGACUGCUAUGUAACAUAAAAUUGAUCAAUGAGAAAUCUUAUUACAAUAUUUUUAAAUUUGAUUAUGGUACACAUAAUCAUAAUAAAGGAAAAUAAUAAUAUUUUUAUACUCUGUUUGGAUUAUUGUUACCCGUUAUUUCAUAAUGUAUUGUAUUGUAUGGUAUAUACCAUAUUUGGCUAGAUUGUGUUGUUUGUUGUUGUUUAAUAACAUUUGUAUUGUUUGAUUUGACUAUAUCGUACUGUAUUGUAAUUUAUAAAUUUACUAAAAUGUCCUUAAUUAUUCUAAAUACUAAAUUUAUCAAUAAUUACUAAUAAAAUAACAAUACUAUUAUGCAUAUUUUUUAUGUCAUAUGAAAAUAACAUAAAAUAAUAUUAUCAAUUAUAAUUAUAUUAUCAAACAAUAUUAGCACGUUUGUAUCUAGAUUGGUUUAAUUAAGAGAUGAUAAAAUCAAAAUUUUAUAUAUUCAUUCUAGAAAUUAUCAUGUACCGCAUUAAUCAAGAAAAUUUGAAAAAUGAUGAAAAGGUAAGAAAAUAGUGCUUUGUAUGAACUAACUAAUUAAUAUAUUUAUUCGUUAACAAUUGUGGACUCUAAAUGGUCAACUAUAAAUUUUAAUUUAUACUUUUGUAUUUGUAUAAUAUAGAAAUCUGCAAAAUAAAAAAACAUAUAAAUCAAUAGAAAGAGACAAAAGUAUGAAAAAAGGGAAGAACGUAUGCUUAAAAAAAAAAAAGGAAGGACAAACAACUAAACCUAGAAAGAAAGUAAUGCACUAAUUAUUGGGUAGGAGGUUUGCCUAAGAUUAAAUAAUAUAGGGUAAUGGUAGAUUAGUAUUAUGAAAUACUUAAUAAAUAAGGAUAUAAUUGGAAAAUGAAACUAAGUAACAAUAGGAACACACCAAAUCGAUUGUUCCAUAAAAUGGAGGUUUUCAUUGUUACGUAACAAUGAAAUUUAACAAUUCAAUACAUUUUAAGUAACAUUCAAAACAAACAUUGUAUGUAUGAUAACAAUACAAUACAAUACAACAGGUUAUAAUGAUCCAAACAGAGUGUUAUUAGGUAUGUAUGUAUGAUAACAAUACAAUACAAUAUAACGGAUUAUAAUGAUCCAAACAGAGUGUAGUUAGGUACUAAGAAAAUAUAAAAAAAUAAUAAAGCAAUUAAAACUUUGCAAGAAUUGCGCCAGUUGAGUUACUCACAUUUUAGCCCAUUGCAAAUGCCAGUCUAAUACUUCAAAAAUCUUUGAACAUAUUGUCUAUUUGUUGACAAUCAUGAACAAAGUACAUUAUGAUAAAUAAUGGAAUGUAACAUAAAGCAAUUAAUCAAACAGAUACUAAAUAGCUUAUGAAAAAAAACAUAGAUUACACCUAAAUCUACUCAUUUAAACAAGCUUACUUGAAGAAUCCCACAUUCUGUUGGUAUAUAAUUUGAGUCUAUGGAAAAAUUUCUUGAAUUUUGAUUGGUUGGGGAGACCGUGUCAAUAAGAACUCAAAAUAUUGUGUAUUGAUUUUGUAUUUCUUUUUUUAUCUAUAUUGUUAUGAUUAAAGCCUUAAGAAUGGUGUAUUUAUUGUACUUUUCUCCAUUUUUAAUGUGUUUUCUCUCUAUUGCACCUCUUUUAAUUUAUUUUACUAUGAAUUUUUAAUUACCAUAAGUUUGUAUUUUAAACAUUAAAAUACAGUUCCCAGCCAUUUGAUAUUUACUGUCACACUGUUACGUUUUAUUACUAUUACACCCAUGUUUUAAAAAAGAAUAUUAAUCGAUUUUUUUUUUUUUGCAUGAGACACACGUGCUCAAAAACUUUAAGCCUUUUAAAAAUAUAUUCUUUUAUUGAAAUAGUAAUUUUUUCUAUUGACUCAAGUCGAAAUUUAAAUUAUUUUUUUUUUAUAGAGAUUAUUAAUUAAUCAAAUAUUAAUCUAGUAAAAUUUUAGGGUAUAUCAAAACUACGUAAUGGCAUUAACCUGCAUUUCAUAAUUAAUACUACCCACACGAUCAUAUUGUCGUCUGUCGACAUGACCAAUUUGUAAUAAUUAAGAAAUCAUUACAUGCUAAUCUGCUAUAAUAUCUGCUAAGAUUUUUUUGACCGUAUAAAAGAUAUUUUACACUGCUAACGUAUAUAUUAGUUAAACUCUAAUUAUAUAGUUGUGUAAAGUUCCCCAAUUAAACUCAAAUUACAUACCAUGGUUACGGGUCGGUUUAGGUAGGUUAUUGAUUAAAAUCAAAAUUAAACCAAUUUAAUUGGUUUUAAAAUUAUCAAAAUCAAAUCAAACUAAAUAUAAUCACAUUUGGUUAUUAUCUGUCACGCCCCAAGCCUACAACCUGGACGUGGCCGGCACUCGAAGACCAUUGCUGGCCCCCAAGCGAACCCUUGGCUUGGCUUUCUUAACUCAGCGGAAACUUAACUCAACAGAAUAACUCAAUGCAAUGAAAGGUUAUAAAACAACCUAACUGAUGCAUAACAUGCCAAAAGGCAACUCGUCUCAAAAUAGAAUAUUUACAUAUAUACAUAGAUGAGAGACUCAAUACUAACUGACUAACUGUCUAUGAAGCCUCUAAAAAUUCUGAGAUGGAUAUUGGGACAGACCCCGCAACAUCCUAAUAAAACCAAAACUAAGAACACAAAAUAACAGGGUCCUCCGGAAGGCAAGGAGGCUCACCACAGACUCUGGAGUGCUCAGCUGGAUCAACGGCGUNNNNNNNNNNNNNNNNNNNNNNNNNNNNNNNNNNNNNNNNNNNNNNNNNNNNNNNNNNNNUCAUGAAUAACUUAACUCAAUAUAAAGCAAUAAGACACAUGCAAUAUAUAUAAAGCUUGUAAAACAGUGUAAACAACUUAGCUCGUUAAUGAUAAAACAAUAACAAAUUCCACUUUACUUAUAUAAAAGUAGUAUAACUUUUGUGGGAGAUUCUUUAGCCGACAACCACCACUAUGAGCCUUAGUGAUGAUACAACGUUUUACCUCACGUUGCCCAAGGACCAUUCUAUACCUUGCCGUGAUAUAGGACCUUACUUUACUUAGUGGAUCCACUAGCUUAAUCUUACGUGAUCAUCUAAAAAGAAUGACCCGUUAAGUCCCAUGUUUGGCUACAUGGUUCUUAUAGAGAGUUGAGUUAAAUGAACUCGCUUCCCCAAUUCGGUGCUCAAUACUACUCCCAAAAAUACUUUGGCUCAUAAGUGUUUUAAACACAUCUUUCUUUAGUUUGAGAUAAUUGCUCAAAGCUUAGCUUAAAAUCUCUUUUGGAAUCGAUGUUCCCUUUCUUGCUCAAAUGUGAAAACAUUUUAAAAACUUCUUUGGAAAUACUUAGUUCCCUAAUGACUUUUGAGAAAUGAACUUGACUCUAUACUCUUUACUUGACUUGAAACUCUAUACUCUUUAUUUGACUUGACUUUGAUCCUAACUUUCUUGAAUUGAAAUAUGGAUUCAAGGAUUCAUGAUUUGUGUUGGGAAAGACCUCAUGAUGUUUAGGAAUGAUUUAGGACAGCUAAACUUAAGAAAAAUUACGAAAUUUAAUUUUUGAAACAAUGAAGUCCGUGUCCUGUCCGCGACGCAGAGCAAAUUUUUGUUCACAGAGGGAACAAGUCUGUGACGCAGACUUGUUUCAUGCAAGCUGCCCGACUUUUCUCAUUCAUGUUACCAACUCUAUACCCUCUUAACUUCAAAGGUUCUUUUCCCAAACACUUGGGAUCAUUAAAAACCCUUAAUACACAAAGGAUUCAACUCAAAACCACAACCUAAAACAUGUCUCAAAUCCACAAGAACUUCAACAACACAACCACAACCUCACCAACCACAACCACAAGACUUCAAUAAACACAACCAAAUCUUUUCUCGGGAAUUUAAAAUGAAUUUGGCGUGUGGGGGAAUGAACCAACCCAACACUAUGAUCUCACAUACCUAGUAGGGAUCACCCCCGACGAUAUCCACGACGAUCUUUGAUGAAACCUUGCUUGAUCUUCUCUUUCUCCCCUUCUUCUCCUCUUUACUCACAAACCCUCACUCUCACACUUUCAAAAAGGGAAAAACUGAUCUAAAAUCAGUCUAACACCUUAAUAUAUCCAAAAGAAUUGGUUAGGGAAAAGACCAAAAUACCCUUAAAAUUUUCGGACGGACCUCCCUGCCAACUGCCCAACUUCCAAAGGGCAUAACUCACUCAUACAAAUUCGGAAUCGAAAAAACUCGGUGUCUUUGGAAAGAUCAUUCCACGAGCUUCGCAACCAUAACUGGAAAUACACCUAACUCAUCCUGAGCUAGAAGUUAUGACUGUUCAAAGUUGGCCAAAAACUCACCUUUUUCCCAUACUUAGCCAAAUUUUCCAGAUUUUUAAAAGUCUUUCCAAAAAUGACUAUUUCUAAUUUUUAAGCUUCUUCCUAGUUAUCAACUUGCAAGAUGUCACAUUAUCGGUAUCGUUUCGAUUUGAUUUGGUUAUUUGAUUAUUAACCAUACACAAAAAUAAAAGAAACAAUUCAUUCAAAACAUGUAAAAAGUGACAAACAAUUCAUUCAUAAAAGAAACAAUUCAUUUAAAAUGUGAAAAAAGUGACAACAAUCCAUUCAAAACGAAAAAUAGUUAGAAUGACUUAAAUUACUAAACUUUCAAUCACUAAAUUUACUAUCAAUAAAGCUUUAAAAUUCACUAUAUUGGCCUAGAAGGAAGAGACAAUAACAUUUUCAGUCCCACAAAGAAUUGUCAUAGACACUCAUAUACAUGAAAUCAAUAAGAUAAAUGUUUCAUCUCGGGCAUUUUUGCUUUCAAUAAGUAAAUUAUAAAGAAAUUUUAAUGAAAAUAUGUAUAAGAUCUUUAAAAUUGUUUAUAAAAAUAAUAUAUUAAGUAUGUAUAUUAAUAAAAUAUAUGUAUAUAAUUCAUCGGUUCGGUUCGGUUAUUUCUUCGGUUUUUUUCGAAUAAAACCAUAAUCAAACCAAAUACUAUCGGUUUUCAAAAAUCUAAAACCAAACCAAACCAAACCCAAAUAAAAUCGGUUUUAUUUUAUCGAUUUGGUUUGGUUUUUCGGUUUGGAUCGGUUUUUAUCCAAACCGUGAACACCCCUAGUUGUGUAAAGUUCCCCAAUUAAAAUACCAUGGUUAUGGGUCAGUUUAGGUAGGUUAUUGAUUAAAAUCAAAAUUAAACCAAUUUAAUUGGUUUUAAAAUUAUCAAAAUCAAAUCAAACUAAAUAUAAUCAUGUUUGGUUAUUAUCGGUAUCGUUUCGAUUUGAUUUGGUUAUUUGGUUAUUAACCAUACACAAAAAUAUAAUAAAAGAAACAAUUCAUUCAAAACGAAAAAUAGUUAGAAUAACUAACUUACAAAACUUUCGAUCACUGAAUUUAUUAUGAAUAAAACUUUAAAACUCACUAUUUUGGCCUAGAGGAAAGGAACCCAUAAAUUAAGAAUUGAGACACCAUAUACAUGAAACCAAUAAGAUAAAUGUUCUCACCUUGGGCACUUAUGCUUUCAUAGGUAAAUUAUAAAUUAAUUUUGAUGAAAACAUAUAUAAGAUUUUUAAAAUUGUUUAUUAAAAUAAUAUAUUAUGUAUUUAUAUUAAUAAAAUGUAUGUAUAUAAUUUAUCAGUUCGGUUAUUUCUUUCGAACAAAACGAUAGCCAAAUCAGAUACUAUCAAUUUUUAAAAAUCUAAAAUCAAACCAAACCAAACUUAAAUAAAAUCAAUUUGGUUUGAUUUUUCGGUUUGGAUAGAUUUUUAUCUAAACCGUGAACACCCCUAUCUUGGAUGUUGUACAUAUUGUAGUUGACCGAAGUGUUUAGGGCCGCAGUUAUCCAAAAGUUAAAUUGUUGAACUUAAUUAUAUGUAAAGUUCUCAUUAAACUCAAAAUUUUAGAUACAUUCCAAAUGUAUCAUAGCUAUGCAAGUGGACACUUCUGUGAAUAUAUAUAUAACUUCUAGGGAAUUAUUACUACUUCACUCUAAAACACAUUCAAUUCAAUUGUUUGAUAUUUUUGUCCUUCUAUUGUUAUUAUACAUAUUUUCCAUCAAACAUGUUUCAAGAAAACUUGCAUUACCCCUGCAUGAACAAUAUUACAACUGAUUUUCCAGCAGAAAUUGAAUCCUCCAACAAAAAGAGAUGGCACUUAGCUUUGGCAACCAUCUAUUGUUCCAGAGCUUUUAAAACUGCUUAUAGUCAUGGAUACUUUCUGUAUCGACUGAUACAAUCGCGAUUGAUGUCCUUUUUUCUCAGACAUUAAUUACUCAAGUCUAGCUAAGCUUGUCAAAGAUAAAAACGUUGACGAACUUGCAAACCUUGGUGGUGUACAAGGUGUUGCUACUUCUCUCAAAACUGAUACAACUAAUGGAACGAACGAUGCACCAGCUUUAAAGGAAGCAGAUAUAGGACUUUCUACGCGGAUUCAGGGCACUUAAGUGGCUAAAGAGAGUUCUGAUAUUGUUGUCAUCUUAGAUGCUAAUUUUGCUUCAGUUGCCACAGUUCUGAAAUGGGGAAGAUGUUUCUAUAUCAACAUCCAGAAAUUCAUCCAAUUUCAGCUCACAGCAAAUGUGGCUACGCUCAUGAUCAAUUUUAUAGCAGCUGUAUCAUCUGGUGAGGUACCACUCACAGCAGUACAAAAACAUCUAAAAAUAACAAAAAUCAUUCUUCCGUGUAUUUUUGUUAAGAAACUAAUUGAACCAUUUUUUAUUUUUUUUAAUUUGGUCAUGUCUUAGCCACGAUGAGAAGAUCAAAGUUACCUAAAAAGAAUAAGAAUAUGGAUAGGAAAUGAAUCUUUCAUUCUUAGAAUUUAAAUUUUGUGUUGUUAGUUUAUAUGAUUUUUGCAUCAUUAAGUAAAUUGACUUGCAAUAAUACGUAAGUCUUGAAAUAUUUAUACAGUAGGUUAUGAUGGUUACAAAGAUUAUGUAAAAAAAAUAAUUUUAAAAAUAUUACGUCCAACUAUUUAGAGAUUUUCUUUAAUAAAAUAUUUAGUACGUAUGUAUGUUAUCAAUGCAAUUUUAUACAAUGUAGAGAAAUGCUGAAAAUUUAGUGAAAGCAUGUAGGCAUUUAGUUAUGAAAAUAAAAAAAAAAUUAAGUUAUUUGAAAUUUUUGAAGUUGAAGUUGUAUUCGGCCAUACUUUUUACAAAGAAUAUUUUGAAAUUUGAAUAUAUUUUGUCUGAAUAUGAUUUAAACUCUCAAUUUCUAAAAAUUAGAAAAAUCACCUAACUUGACUAGCUUAACCAUGUGUACAUAUAUUCAUUUAACUUGACACUUUUUUUUUUGUUGGUGGUGUGAGUUUCUUAAAAAAAUAGAUAGAAGGAUGAAUCUUGCAACUUUUUGGAUAGUGCAAGGAUGGUUUUUGUUCACUUAUAUAAUAUAAGGAUAUACUUUAGACUUAAGUCAUACUUUAGGAUGAUUUUAACAUUUGUAGCAGAAUUUCCACAUAUAUAGGGGUAAGACUCGGAUUAGAGAUUAUAUAGAAGCACCCCCAACCCCCUUCUUUUUCUUCCUUCGAGUAGGUCCGCUCACUGGAAAGUUAGGUCCAUAGAAAGGUUCCAUCCUCCAAGGAAUAUCGUAAAACAGCCGAAAGGCGAUGACAUUCCUUGUGGCAAGAGUCGACCUCUAGGGUAUCGAGGAAGGUUGGAGAAUAUAGGUUACAGAGCUCAUCAGUCCAAGUCUCAGAAGAGAGACUCCUACGCCAUCCAUUCUUUCAGUAUGAACCAGUUAAAGAGCAUAACCAAAAACUCUCGUUAAAUGGUUGAUUGAUGUUGCAUUCAUUUAUUACUCGCUAGUCACUACUUGUAUUUCUCUAUGUUACGUUUUAAAACAAAAUUUAUGUUUCAAUAAAUAAUUAAAAUGAGAAUCUUAUUAUUUAAAAAAAAAACUUAAUUUAAAACAAAAAUUAUAUUUCAACAUUUAAUAAAAUAAUCACUUAAAUUGGUUGGAUGACUUUCUAAAUGAAAUAUCAAUAGAGUGAUUUUGUAUAUAAAAUAUUCAUAGUUGGGUGCCUUUAAUGAUAUAAAAAAGGAGGGAAAGUUGAGUGACUUUCUAUGAAAAGAACUAUCACAUUCGUUCAUAUUUACAUGUCAUCCUUAUAAAAAAUAAAUGUUCCUUAAGACUUGUCAUUACACAAAAUCAAUGUAUAGAUGACACAAUUUUUCCUAUUUUACUCUUAAGAGUUAUUAGUUUUAAAAUGUAUGAAUUUGACCAACAUAGGAAAACUAAGUAACUUAUUCAUGUUAAUUGGUUAAUUAAAUAAAAUAAAUUAAUUCAUGUUUAUUUAUUGAAAAAACUUGACUUUAAAAUAACACUAAAUAAAAAUAUAAUAAUAAAUUGAUCUAAUUUCUAAGGAGCGUAAAAUCUAAAAUGAUAACGCUAUAUUCAUAUUCGUCAUACGUUAUAACUUAUAAGCCAAGCUGGAAUCCAAUAUACACUCUUAUAAAAUAAUCUUAAAGAAUGACCAGUCUCAAGUCAACAACAAAAAGACCAGCAUCUUUUAUAACAUUCUAAAGUGGAAGUACAAGGAAAACGAAAAAAGGCUAUGUGUUUAGAGGCGGAGUUAAGCGAGGAUUUGUGAGUUCGAAUGAAUUCAAUAGCUUUUUUUUGUAAAUUUUGUAUUUGUAAUAAAAAAUUAAAUAAAUAUAUAUAUUUUAUUAAUUUGUGAACCCCUAUUAAAAUUGAUUGACUGUUCAGUGGUAAGGAAGUGAUCGUGAAAAUACUUUUCACGCUAGAAUUGUGGGUUUGAACUCUUCCUCUUUUUUUUUUUUUUUUAAAAAAGAAAAUUUAGAAACCCCAAACUCUUAUCUUGACUCCGCCGCUGUGUUUAUGUAAUUUGUUAAAUGCUUGUUUGGAUUCUUAAUUAGAGAUACGUUUUAGGUUUAAUAUAGUUAUUGGUAUCCAUUAGUUCUUUAUUUAUGUUAUUUUCUAUCUUUACUUAUUUAUUCUUAAAUUUUAAGAUUAUUAUACCUCUCUUUUGAUAUAUCUCCUAUGUUCAAUAAUAGUUGUCUAUUAAACUAAAAGUAAUUGUUCAAUAAUACUUGUCCAAUUUAAAAAAUCAAGAGAUAAUUUACCCUUUGUGUCUAUUUUAUCCUUCCUAUUAAAUAUUAUUUAUCAUCUAACACAUUUUUCAAAGCAUUAAAUUUAAUAAAGUCAAAAGAUAAUAUAGUAAUAUUACCUCUAUUAUUUAUACUCUCUCUGUCCGUAAUUACUUUUGAAUUGACACACCUAUUAAGAAAACAAUGAUUGACAUAGUAAAUUUACAAUUUUACUCUUAUUAAUUAUGAAGUGGAUGAAUUAAAAACUUAAGAUUUUCAAGAAAUUAUAUAUUUUCAAAGUAACUAACUGAGGGUAUAAUAGGUAAAAAAAAUACUUUAAUCAUUUAUUGAUUUUUCAAAAUGAAUAAGUAAUUAGAAAUAACUAAAAAAAUAAAAAGUGAAUAAGUAAUUAGUAACGAGAGGGUAAGUAAAUUCAUAUAUCCUUUUCUUAGAAAUUUCUUUAAAGUUUGCGAAACGAUGGUACUAUGCUCACUUUUUAUCCCUUUUUCCUUUUGCUUUUGGACAAGUGUUUUCAUCUUGCCUCUUCAUUUCAUGCAUGAUAAUUAUCCAAUCUUUUUUUUUUUUUGAUAAGUGUAUUACAACUAUUAUCCAAGCUGGAAUCUAGCACUUUGGCAGGGUUAGAAAAAUGCUGUUGUGUUAAUUUUGCAUAUUUUUAGUAUAUUGUUUGGUAUAUAUUUUUUAGUCUAUAUAUGUAUAAUUAAUAUUUGUAUUAGUUAUAUACUUUAUUGUGUAUUAAGGUGUGUAUUACUAAUAGAGAAAAUGGCUGAAUAUUUUCUUUAACUUUGCUAUUUAGAGUUGAUACACCACUCAUUAUGAAAGUGACUCAAAUUUUAAUAUACAUAUACCAUUUUCCUCUAAUGGAAGUGAAAAAAAUAAUUUUAAUAUAAUCCAUAUGGGGUAUAUUUGAUCCUCCUCACAAGUACUUUUUUGCCUUUUUUGUUUCAACGAUUAAUUUAAAUUUAUUAUUUUGAUGGUCAAAUUUAUUUAUGUUUCACUAAUUUUAUUGUAAAUUUUAUUAUAGAUACCCCAAUUUUAUUUUUUUUACAAAUACAAAAACUAAAUUUCAAUAUAACCGCAAAAAGUUAGCUUUAAAUUUUUCUUACACUAAAAAUGAAAGGAAAAAAAAGAAUAAGAAACUCAAAUAACAAUAUAAUCAAAGAAGUCAAAAAUAAUUUAUGUAUGAAAAAGAUCAAAACAUACUUCAAACUUUGCUAGAAGGAUCAUAUGUACCUCUAUAUGGAUUUAAAAAAAAAUUAAAAGUAAGAAAAAUAAAUUUAGAACUAAUUUUUUCACUUUCGUUAGAUGAAGGGUAUAUGUGAGCUCCUUCUGUAACGAUAGGGGUAUAUCAUAUAUGUGAGUUAUUUGUAUAACUGUAAGGGUAUAUAUAAGUCACUUUCUUAAUAAAGGGUACAUCAACUUUUUUGACAAAGUUAAAGGGUAUAUCAGACUUACUAAUCAUAUCAUGAUUUCCAUGUAUUAAUAUAUUUUACAUAGGAUUGGUUAAUGAUGUAACGAUCCCUCAAAUCUCCCUUAAUAUAUUUUCCAAAGCCAAAGAGUGUGAGGGGUGGUUUUGUGAACAAAUAUUUUUGGGAAAAUUACUUAUAUAAACACAUUUACUUACCUUACUAUCAAUUUAUCCCUACCUUUUUUAAAAAUUUCAAAAAUCCCUUAAUUCCCCCAAUUCAUAAAAUCUUCCGGAUACAUAAAUAUUUCACUCCUAUUUUCAGCCUACACCCACGUUUCUCACUCCCCAUUUCACUCCUCCAUUUUAUCCCUAAAUUCUCUCCACUUCUUUAGCAGUUACAAAUUUUAAAUUCAUUUUGAUUUUCAGAAGGUGUCUCUCAAGUUUAUCAAUUAAUCUAUUUUGAAUUUCAAAUCUUUUCUAUUUCCAAUUAAUGAUUUCAAAUUAUUCAAGAGGUAGAUUUCUUUCCAUCACUUCUAUUUUCGAUUUCUUUUAUUAUUAUUUUUUAAUUUUUUCAUCUUAAAAAAUAAAAAUAAAAUUACCUUCGCCCCCUGCCUUCUUUGAAAUCUUAUUGAACCUUUGCAAUUUUAGUUAAUCAUAUUGUCGUUGAAAAUUUUUCUUGAAAAAUAUUUAUUUUCUUUUAAUGUUUCUACUAUUGAAAAAUGUCCAAAAAAAGAAGAAGAAAAAAGUUGGAUUUGCCAUUGCACGGCCAUCACUAUCAAAGAUACAAAUUUUUAAUGUAUCUCGUUUAUUUUGAAUCUUAAAUUAGUCUUUGUUAGUGUUAUCAUUGAUCUUAUACAUUACUGCUACAAUAACAUUUGUUUUAUGCAAUGUAUAAUGUUCAUAUUUAAAGUAUUGAUAUAUAACUCUAAUGUUGUUGAAUCUUCGAUUAGUGUUUAUCAUGUUCAAUAUAAAUGUACUUGAUACGUAAACUUUGUGUUAUUUAUCACACACAAAAAAGAAGCUAUUUUGGAACAAUUACAUGUAUAAUGUAUUUUUUUAAAAAAUUUAAAAAUAUAGUAUUUCUCAAACAAAAUAAGAUACAUAAAUAAUAAUGUAUCAUACACUAAUUUUUUGUUAUGAUACGUAAAUUCAAAUUUAUAUUAAAUGUAUCUGAUACAUAACAAUUACCAAACAAUAAUGUAUCGAGCUCAAACUUAAAAUCUUAUAGGCAACACUUUCUUAUUUAAUGUAUCUAGUAGAAAUACAACACUUAUCAAUUUAAAUUGAAAGGAUCUUCAUGAUCUCAAGCAAAAUAAGAUACAUAAAUAAUAAUGUAUCAUACACUAAUUUUUUGUUAUGAUACGUAAAUUCAAAUUUAUAUUAAAUGUAUCUGAUACAUAACAAUUACCAAAUAAUAAUGUAUUGAUCUCAAACCUAAAAUCUUAUGGACAACACUUUUUUAUUUAAUGUAUCUAGUAGAAAUACAACAUUUAUCAAUUUAAAUUGAAAGGAUCUUCAUGAUGUAUCUUCUCAAAAUUUUUGAUAAUUUUGAAUCAAAAUUGAAAGAAUCUUCAAUGAAUUAUGAGAAUAAUUUUGAAACUCAAAAUUUUCAACAAUUUUGAAUCAAAAUGGAAAGGAUCUUCUAUGAACUGGAGAAGAAUUUUGAAUCUCAAAAUUUUCGUCAAUCUUGGAUCAAAAUCGAAAGGAUAUUCGAUGAACUUGAAGAUUCACGAAAGAAAUCGUUUGUCCAACAACAAUUCCAUCACUUUUGUAUCCUUCAUAACUCACCUCGCUUAUCCACAAUUUUGACAAAAGUUUUUAUGAAACAGAGAGAACGAUGAACAAGAAGAAGAAAUUUAAUUUUUGAAUUUUUUGGUUUGUUACACUAUAGGAUUUUGAAUUCUUGACAAUAAUUUGGAAUGGAAUAGUGUAAUUUAUGGGAUCUUAAUUUGAUUUUUCAGUUUUUCUCCCCUUAAUAAGUGCAACAGAUUGAUACAUAAUGUAUCAACAAUAAUGUAUUCGGAUCCUUAAUUAUGUAUCCGCAAUUCCUAAGAAAUAUGGGAUUUAUGUAAUUACAAAAAUAAUAGGGAUAGAAGGUAAUUUCGAUUUUACACUAUGGUAUUUAUGUAAGUUAUACAAUGUUUUUUAUAGAAGUUAUGCAAAACUCAUUAUUUUUAAUACGUCAAACCAAAUAGUGUAUACGAAAUAAUGUCAGUAUAACUAAUACCAACAUUUUACUAAUGCAAUCAUGACUAAAUACUAAUACACCACAUUCUACAUUAUUUUUGUAUACUCUGACAAUCGACCCCUAAGUGGGUUAUUUUGAUAUUAAAUUCAUUCCAUGUUUCGUUGAAGCUGUUGACUUGUUGUCAUUACAACAAAAAGAUAUUUAGUGGCAAUAGAUUUUCUUUUUACCAACAAUUGAGUUAAUGUCAUUACAUUCCGAAUGGCUAAAGCCUCUAGCAACAUUUAUAUAGAGUGUUGAUUAUUAAUACACAUACUAUUUAUUUUAUUUAUGAAAAUUUCAAAAUAAUUCGCAAUCGCUACAACAUUUGUCCUUCGAGUGAGCACUCUAUAAUAAACUGUACUAGGCAAACCCUAUACGACAAGCUUGAAAUAAAAUUAUUCACACAAAAUAUAAUUCACAUAAAUAUAAUAUAACAGCAAUAAUCUAAAUAAUUCACACAAAAUCCUUUAUUUAUCAUAUAUAAGUACUGUCAUUUAAAAUCCCCAAAAAAUACAAACCAACUCAACAAUCAUUGUACUCACUUUUUUGCCUUGGCUUGCUCCUUUUGCUUUUCACUCAAUAUUGGAGUCUAAUUAUUUUUAAAUUUUGUCACGUAGAGCUUUAUUCAAAGCAAAAUCAUUUGUUAUCAAGAAUUUUUCUAAGCUCUCAAACUCAAGUCUUUUUUAUUAAGGGAGAACAAUCUCAUCCAUUGCACGAGCAUCCUUCGGUUCCUUUUGCUUUUUUGUGUGUGUACAAUACUUGAUUACAUGAUUACGUCAAUCGUUUUUCAUUCUCUGAUUAGUCAUACUCAUAUUAUAUAUAAGCCAAGCUGGAAUCCAAUCUUUAUAUAAGCUUAUUAAACAAAGACCAGAACAAAAGACAAACAAUCUUUUAUAACUUUCACUAUUGCUGCAACUUCCAAGAAUAAUAUCAUCUCCUCACUCCUAACAGCCUGUCUGUUACACACGGUUUACUUUUGUCUAUAAACUUGUAGCCAUCACCUCUUUUAUACAACAACAGAAUCUAACAGACAUUUCAAAUUAUCAAACUAGAAAUUAUAUUAAACACAUCGUCAGUUACCUAUUUGGAUAUUAUUAUUAUUUUAUCAAAAAUCAUGUGUGACAACAUCUUGCAAGUGCAAUUAACGCCUAUUUUAACGUCCCCCGCCAGGAAGAGAUGGCGUUGGGCGUUUAAAAUUCUCUAUACUUCCAGGGCAUUGCUGUCUACAGCCAGGAAGAUUGUUGCUGAAAAACAAACCAAAUGAAGACCACCACUAUUUAUAGUUGAGAGAGUCUUCCUAGCAAUGAAUAGGAAGAUAAUGGGUAGUAAAUAGUGAAGAUAAUGACCUUAGGAGUUACAUAGGUUACAAGGUAUAAUAGAGGAAUUAUGAGUGACAAUCAAGUAGGCACUAAUGCCAUCAACGCAAUUUUGCAUCUGUUGCAAAACUGAAGUGCCAUAUUGCACUAACUCCUAAUGGUGUAAUGCUCCAAAUAAAUGUCCAACGGUUAAGACAAAAGAAUUAUCCACCAACGGACAAUUUCACAGCAAAUGCCAUACUUUGACUCCAUACAUUUCAAGCAAAUUAAUAUACAAAAAUAUUAAUAUUAAAAUGCUGACCAACAAGGAUUAAUUAUUAUAGAAAAUAAAAGGUUUUGAAAACACUAUUUUUUUUAAAUACUUAUAAAACUAAGCAGUUUGGGCAGCUAUGUUAAACAUGCUCUAAGUGUCUCGUGGAGAAAGAUGACAAAAACCAACUACAAUUACAAAGACAAGAGGCAACGUAACCCACAACUUGGAGGCUCAAUGGAGCCAACUGGUUCACAAUUUGAAUUGCUGAUUUGCUGUCACUGUGUAAUAUAACUGGGAGUUGCACAUUUACAUUCAACUCUUUACACAAACCAAUUAGCCAUAGAAUUUCUGAUACACCUGCUGCCAUGCUUCUGUACUCUGCUUCUGCUGAGCUCCUAGAUACAGUCGUUUGUUUCUUUGCCUUCCAAGAUAUCAAUGAUUCCCCAAGCUUCAUUACAUAGCCUGUAACAGACCUUCUUGAGAUAGGACAUGUGGCCCAAUCAGCAUCACAGAAACCUGUUAAUUCAGUAGACUGCUUUGAUACCAUGUUAGAAUUCAGAAACAUUGCAGUGACUUCCAUUAAUGGAGGAAAUCUAAAACUGCUAUUGGUUGUAAAUGGGUUUUUAAAAUCAAGUACAAGGCUUGUGGUGUUGUUGAAAGAUACAAGGCUCGGCUUGUGGCAAAAGGGUAUAACCAGAAGGAAGGUUUAGACUAUGUGGAGACCUUUUCACCUGUGGUCAAGAUGGUUACUGUCAGGGUGGUACUUGCUCUUGUUGCUGCUCAUAACUGGUCUCUUCAUCAGCUUGAUGUCUACAAUGCCUUCUUGCAAGGGGAUCUUCACGAAGAAGUAUAUAUGCAUGUUCCACAGGGAUUUUCCAGUCAGGGGGAGAAACAAGUCUGUAGACUGCAUAAAUCCCUGUAUGGACUAAAGCAAGCAUCAAGACAAUGGAACUUGAAGCUCACUGAAGCAUUGAUUAACUCAGGGUUCACUCAGAGUCAUUUUGACUAUUCUCUACUUCUUCUUGAAGAUCCCCUUGCAAGAAGGCAUUGUAGACAUCAAGCUGAUGUAGAGACCAAUUAUAAGCAGCAGCAAGAGCAAGUACCACCCUGACAGUAACCAUCUUGACCACAGGUGAAAAAGUCUCCACAUAGUCUAAACCUUCCUUCUGGUUAUACCCUUUUGCCACAAGCCUAGCCUUGUAUCUUUCAACAGCACCACAAGCCUUGUACUUGAUUUUAAAAACCCAUUUACAGCCAAUAGCAGUCUUGCCAGGAGGUAGAUCAACCAAGGACCAGGUCUCAUUAUCCUUCAAGGCCUGAAGUUCUUGAUCCAUGGCCAACACCCAGUCAGGAUCCAAAGAAGCUUCAGCAUAACAAGAUGGUUCUCGCAAGGCAGUCAUCUUAGACAAGAAAGACUGAUAUGGACCAGACAAGCAUGUAUGGGACAAGUGAGAAGACAUGGGAUAAAGACAUGCAUUUGAAACACCGCUGGAAGGAAUGGAUGUACAGACAUAAUCCUGCAUCCAAGAAGGUUGUGUCUUAGUCCUUGUUGAUCUUCUGGCUUCCAGAUUAUGUGGAUGAAUGGGACCAGCAUGAGGUGUUGGAGGAAGAGUCACCUCAGGAGAGGAAAUUAGACCAGAUGCAACAUUAUCAAGAGGCAAAGAAGCUGGGACAACGACAGCAGUAGGUGAUGUAUCAGUGUUAAUAACACCAUUUGGAAAUAUGUGAAGUUGACCAGACUUUUGCAGCUGAAAAGGAAAUAUAGAUUCUUGAAAAUGUACAUCCCUGCUAACAAAGAAGUGGUUAGUUAACAGACUGUAAAGUCUGUAGCCUUUCUGAGUAGCAGAGUAGCCCAUGAGAACUGCCCCAAUAGCUUUAGGACCAAAUUUGUCACCUCCAGGAACAACAGUAGCAAAACACAAGCAUCCAAUAGUUCUCAUGUGUUGGAGAGAUGGUGGUCUCCCAUAUAACAACUCAAAAGCUGAUUUACCAUUCAAGACAGAUAAAGGGAGUCUAUUUAUGACAUAUACAGCAUUUUGAACACAUUCACCCCAAAAUUUCAGAGGCAAAUGACCGUGGAGUCUGAUUGCCCUAGCUACUUCCAAACUGUGUUUGUGUUUCCUCUCAACCAAACCAUUCUGUUGCGGAGUGUAAACACAUGAGCUUUGAUGAAUGAUACCACAAGAGUUAAACAAUGCAUCACAAUCAGAAUUAAAAAAUUCUGAUCCAUUGUCACUUCGAAACACUUUAACAGUUGCUCCAAACUGAUGCUGAAUUAGAGGAAUAAAUUGUUUCAAAACAACAAUUACAUCACUUUUGAGUUUCAACAAAAAAAUCCAUGUCAUCCUAGUAUAGUCAUCGACUAGGGUAAGAAAGAACCUACUACCAUCAUGAUUACAAACCCUAUAAGGGCCCCAAACAUCAGCAUGUAUCAUUUCUAAAGGAGAAGUAAAUCUAGUAGUUUUAACAGGAAAAGAUAGUCUUCUCUGCCUGGCUAGUGGACAAAUGGUGCAUUCUUUGAUGUUGCUACUACUUGUGCUAAAAUUCAUAUUUGGAAUUUUCAUCAGGACUUUGUCAGGAGCAUGUCCCAAUCUGUUGUGCCAUGUUUUUAAGUCUGUAUUUGUACCAAUUGGUCUUGAGUCUACAGUUGCAGUUGCUGCCAUUGCCUGCUGGUAGUCUUUCACUUGCAAUUGCAUCCUGUAUAAGCCAUCACACAUCUUACCAAUCCCCUUCACUUUCCCACUGUGAAGGUCCUGCAUAAUGCAUAGGUUAGGAUAAAAAGUGACAAAACACUUCAGAUCCUUUGUCAGUUUUGAAACUGAUAGCAGGUUGUAUUGGAAGUUUGGUAUGCAUAAGACAUCAGUAAGUUCUGCUCCACCUCCCAAGGAGCAUGAACCAAUACAUGCAAUUUCAAGGGCAUUACCAUCUGGUAAAUAAACCUUACUGGAAGGUAUGUUGUCUGCUAUUGUAGUCUCAUUAAGCAUAUGUUUAUCAUGUAUCAUGUGAUUAGUGGCCCCUGAGUCAACUAUCCAUUUAUCAUAAGCAAUUUCAUGUGUUGCUAGAAACGAAUAAAGUAUACCUGCUACAUGUUUCUCAGAUGUAGUACAGUCUUUGUUGAUCAGCUUCAGUAAUUGAUCAUACUGAUCUUGAGUGAACAUGAUACCAUUGUUGCGACUUGCAUCAGUGUCAUUCAGCUGGUUGUUCGAGCAGGUGUGUUCCUUCUCACGAGCAUAGAGAGCAUGUUGUAUUUGUGGAUCCCCCUGUGCAACUAUGUUAGCAGUUGGCCUGUACCUUGUGGGAUGGUUUCCUCCUUCAUUUGUUCCUGCUGGUCGGUUUCCUCCUCCAUUUGUUCCUGCUGGUCGGUUUCCUCCUCCAUUUGUUCCUGCUGGUCGGUUUCCUCCUCCAUUUGUUCCUGCUGGUCGGUUUCCUCCUCCAUUUGUUCCUGCUGGUCGGUUUCCUCCUCCAUUUGUUCCUGCUGGUCGGUUUCCUCCUCCAUUUGUUCCUGCUGGUCGGUUUCCUCCUCCAUUUGUUCCUGCUGGUCGGUUUCCUCCUCCAUUUGUUCCUGCUGGUCGGUUUCCUCCUCCAUUUGUUCCUGCUGGUCUUCUCUUCCCUUGUGAAUCAGGAGGAUAACCAUGUAGCUUCCAGCAUUUGUCCACUGAGUGCCCUCUCAUAUGGCAGAAUUCACAAUACAAAUCAUUAGUCCUCCUUGGUUUGAAGUUGUUGUCUGCAUCCCUAAAAUUGUUUCCUGGAUUUCGAUGAUUGCCAGUCACUCGAUUAUUGAAUAAUGCUAUCCCAUCCAUGGAUUCCCCCAUAUGAACUGAUUUGCCUAGAGAUCUUCGACUCUCUUCAGAGAUCACCAUCGAGUAUGCCUUGUUCAAGCUAGGAGUGGGAGUCAUCAUCAUGAUCUGACUUCGACAUUGGCUGUAGGACUCAUUCAACCCCAUUAAGAACUGUAACAAACGUUGAUACUCAAAAUGUUCAACAUAUUUCUUUGAUUCAGCACAUUCACAACCAGGACAUGGCAUGAGGGCAUCGAAUUCUUCCCAAAGCACCUUCAUCUUCGAGAAGUAACUCGAUAUAGAGGAAGUACCUUGAGUGAGAUGAUUAAUUUCUGUGUGUAGAUGAAACACCCUAGAUCCGUCAACCUUAUCUAGUCGUUCCUUCAAAUCAGUCCAAACUUGUGUGCGCUAGAGGCAUACAUGAUUCCACUCAAUAAUUCUUGCUAACAGCAUUCAUUAUCCAUGACAGCACUAUUGCAUUACAUUUUCCCAAAGUUCAUGCAAUGAUGUAUCGAACUUAUCCUUAGUGUGUCUUCCAUCUACAAAACCUAAUUUGCUCUUUCCUACCAGUCCAAUUCUCAUCGAUCUACUCCAAAUUGCACAAUUUUCUGGACCUGUUAGGAGAAAUGAGAUUAGAUUGUUACCUGGAGUAUCACACGCCUGCAGGCACAGAGGAUGGGGAUGAUCAAUCACUGUAGGAGUUGUGGUGGCUUCAUUAUCAAUUGCCAUUGUUGUUCGCCGAGUGCUCUGAAUCGUAGAUCCACUUCUUAGUUACAAAAAAAACUAGUGUGGUUUGUGACUUGAAUUCAGAAGUCCAGAAACUCUCCUCAAAGCUCUGAUACCAUGUUAGAAUUCAGAAACAUUGCAGUGACUUCCAUUAAUGGAGGAAAUCUGAAACUGCUAUUAAGCUUGAAUGAACAUAGGCAGAAUUCUGGGAGAAUACAGAAUUGGGAAAUUUUCUCUGAUUAAAACCAAUACUGAAAAUUUGAUCAUCUACACACUUAUAUACACGUUUUAACUUGUAACUAACUAAGCUAGCUAAUAUCUUUCUAACAAACUAUUAACUAACAGCCUUAACAAUAAUCAGUUAACUAAUCACGUGAUGGUGCCAUGUCACAUACGUAUUAACCUUUCUCAUCCUCAAUAAAAACAAGACUGAGCUCUUGAGCAACUUUUCGCGCUCUCAAUCUUAUACAGUAGUUGAUAUCGAACCAGAAUGUUUUUCGAGUAUCAACAAGCAAAUGUUAGCAAAACUCGUUCGAGUGAGAGAUGUUAAACAGUUUGAUGGUGUGGAAAGCGUGUUGUUUGUCCUGAAAACUGAUGCUGACAAGGGUAUCUUAGGUGAUGAUAAGGAUAUUGCUUCUCGGCGCAAACAUUUUGGGACUAACACAUUUAAGAAGCCAUCAGUAAAUCUAUUGCAAAUAUUAUUGAAGAGCCUCAAAGAUCCUAACAUCAUCAUUGUACUGCUGUAUGCUGUUUUAUCACUCGGUUUUGGCGUUAAAAAACAUGGGGUGAAAGGAUGUUUGGAUGGGGGAAUUAUACUAAUUUCCCUGUUUCUUGCCAUUAGUCUCUCUGCUUUUUGUAAUCAUAUCAUUUAUUAUUAUAAGUGGGAGGCUCAAUUUUCAAAGUUGAAUUACUCUUUUACCCUUUUACUAAAUAAAAAUAUUUAAUUAAUAAAAAUAUCUAAUCUAAUUAGUAGCAAUAUUUAAAUUGUUACACAAUUACUAAUGUAAUAAAUAAAAUAUCUACUCUAAUUAAAUAGGAGUAAUAUUUUAAUUAUCACACAAUUACAGCAGCCUAUAUUCAAUGUCUUGGAAUUGCUAGCUUUUUCAUCUUCCUAAAAUUGUCCUCUAUUCAAUAUUUUGGUUUCGUUUCAACUUCCUUAACUUAUUUUUCAAUUUUUUAUACCAAUUUAAUGUCUUGGUAUUCUACUUUAACAUGCAUUGAAUCAAAUCAAAAUGACCCUUUUGAAUUUACGCAAUAAGCCUCUUCGUUGCUAAAUAAAUAGAAGAAUUGGAAGAGUUGCAUUGAGUAAUUAAAUGUAGACUAAUUAUUAACUAGGAAUAAUAAAUAUAUGAAUAAAAAAGUUCAAGGAAUGCGCAUCAGAAAAGAUCUAUAAAAAGGCCAAAUUAUAUGAAUAAUUAAAUUUAAAUUAUUACAAAAUGUUUUGUUGGUUCGUUUUGCCACUAUUUCAUGAAUAUAUAGUACAUUUAAGUCACCUUCUUAGGGGAUAUUUUGUACCCCUAUCUACACACUACUUUUUCAGAAUAUUUUUAUACUAUCAAUCAAAUAAUACAUUUACCUUUUAAUAAUAAAUCAAUAAAUUGUGAAACAUUAAUGUGAAGUUCAUGAAUCUGUCUAGCCCUUAGUGUAGUUUAUCUUUUACUAUAUAAUUAUAUGCACUUAUCCCAUUAAUUUUAAAUUUGUUAUUUCUUUUAAUUUUCAUCCAUUAGAAAACUUUUCAUGUACUCUAUUAAGUUUUAUAUAAUACACAUAACAUUUUUGGAAAAAGUAUAGGAUGCAGUUACAAUUGAUUUGCACAGUAAUUUAGGUAACUGUAUUGUUAUUCAAAUUAUAGCAUAUAAUUGAAAGCUAGAGAUUCUUCUAGCCGAUUGCAGAUUUGAGGCAGCAAUAAGUGAAGCAGUUCUUGUCAAAGAACCAUUUCGUGGUAGUUUACCUCCCAGGUGAUGUUGAUUAAUUAGUUAAAAUUGUUGCGUCUUUAUGUUGUUAAUCUUUAAUUUGUGUUACACUUUAAUAUGUAAUUGCAUGGAUUACUAUAGAAAAAAAGUGUUAUAUAUGAGAUUAUAUACUUUAGAGGUUUAAUCCAAAAUUUGAAGUUAUUUGUCUAAUACGGUGUUGUAAUGCAUGAAACACAUUGAUUUUAAUAGCUUGUCAUGUUGCAUAUGAUAUUAUAUAGUAUAUACAAUUUUACUAAUUAUUUAUGUUAAAUUCAAAGAUGAAAUGACUUAGAAGUUUAAAUCAGACAAAAGGUAAUCUUCCCUUUCAAAAUUCAUAUAACUCAUUGCACAUUUAAUCUAAUAUUUUUUUUAAAAAAAAUUACUUAGCGUGAAAUACACGUGCGUUGCACGUGUUCGAGAACUAGUAUUGGCAUAAACAGCAACUUUAUGAACUUUGUAGGCCAAUUGAAACUGUUUCCAUUCUUGUGAUUAGGGAUGGGAAGGAUACGUGUAUCGCAUCAUCUGAAGCAGUUGUUGGAGAUGUCAUUCGCUUGAAAGCUGGAGAUCAAGUCCCUGCUGAUGGGAUAUACAUAGGUGGCCAAUCCUUACAUAUUGAUGAAUCAACUUUAACAAAGAAAAAUGACCUUGUGGAAGUUAACAAUAGCACCAAUGUGUUCUUGUUAUCGGGUAGCAAUGUCUUGAGGGGUAAUGGUCGAAUGCUUGUUACAGCAGUUGGCAUGGAUACAGCAUUGGCAGAAAUCAUAAGUCCAGCUUGUGUCAAUCAUGAUCAUAAAUCACUUUUACAGAAGAAACUACACAAACUGACCUCGCAUAUAGCAAAGGUUGGUUUGGCAGUCAGUUUCUUGGUUCUUUUAGUACUGUUGGUCCGUUACUUCACAGGGAAUAUGCGAAACAAUGGGAGGAAGUUGUUCAUUGGAGGUAAGACAAGUAUACAUGAUGUAUGGAAAGCCUUUCUUGGGAUUCUAGCAACUCCAGUUGCAAUUGCAUCGGGUGCUAUUCCUGAAGGUUUAACGUUAGCUUGUGCACUAACCAUAGCUUACUCAACCAAGAAGAUGAUUGUUGAUCAAGCACUUGUUAGAAGUCUUUCAGCUUGUGAAGCAAUGGCCUCCGCUACUGUGAUUUGUACGAAUAAGGAAGGAGUACUGACUGAAAACACUCUGCAGGUCAGAGAGUUUUGUCUAUGUGAAGAGUAUUUUGGAAGAGGUACUUUCUCUUCAUUUGCCCCAGAAAUUCUUGAUCUGCUUCAUGAAGGAAUGGCUCUGAACACAACCAAGAUCCCACCGGGAUCUUCAUUUGAACACAUUGAGGAUCAAAUUCAAAAUGCAAUUUUGGGCUGGGGCAUCAAAAGUAUGAAUAUGGAUGUACAACAACUGAAAGAAAGAUGUACACUUGUCCAUGCUGAAAGCUUCAACUCGGAAUACCAAGGGCGUGUUUUGAUAAGGAGGAAUGCUGACAGCAGAGUACAUGUGCACCACAAAGGAACUCCAGAGGCAAUACUGGCCAUGUGUUCACGUUACUACGAGGAGACAGGGGAUGUCAAAGAUAUAAACGAUGAUACUAGAGAAGCAUUGCAGGGAAGAAUUACAAAGAUGAAAAUGGAUGGUUUGUACUGUGUUGGUUUUGCAUAUAAAAGUGUAACAGCAGAACAUCAGAUUGAUCAUGAAGGGCAUUUCCAUCCCAAGCUCAAAGAAGAUGAUUCGAUCUUAUUAGCAUUUGUCGGUCUGAAAGCUCCAUGUAGAGAACAAGCAAGGAAAGCUGUGAUGGACUGCCAAGAUGCUGGAGUGAACAUCAAAAUCAUUACAAAAGAUGAUAUCCACACCGCUCGUGCAUCAGCUAUUGAUUGUGGUAUAAUUGAUCCUCAUGACACAUCCACUGGAGAAGUCAUUGAAGGAACAACAUUCCAAGGAUAUGCUGAAGAUGAAAGAUUGGAGAAAGUUGAUAACAUUCGUGUGAUCGCAAGAGCCUCAACGCUGGACAAGCUUCUAAUGGUACGAUGCUUGCAAAAGAAAGGUCAUAAUGUUGCAGUUACCGGAGACAGAGUGGAAGAUGCAGAAGCUCUUAGAGAAGCCAAUGUGGGGCUUUCAUUGGGUAAUCAUGGAACCGAUGCAGCAAGGAACUGCUCGGAUAUUGUCAUCAUGGAUGAUAACUUUGCUUCCAUAGCUAGGGUUCUAAGUUGGGGCCGAACCACAUACAACAAUGUUCAGAUAUUCACCCAGUACCAACUAACAGCAACUAUCGCUUCUUUGGUGAUAGACUUUGUGACAGCAAUUUCAGCUAGCGAGCCCGUGACCAUCAACAUUGUCACAGUAAUUUCAGCAGGCAAUGUUCCCUAUGCAAUGCUUCAGGUACUUUGGGUAAAGCUGAUGGUGGGGACAUUAGCAGCUGUAGCUCUCACUAUCGACGGGCCUGGAACAAAGCUCAUGCAGCAGCCACCACCUGACAAAAAUGAGCCAUUUAUAACCAAUAUCAUGUGGAAAAAUAUAUUGGGACAAGCAUUGUACCUGAUCUCAGUGUUGCUUACCAUCCAAUUCACAGGUGAAUCAGGAUACCAAUUAAGCGACAAGGAAAAGGACACAAUGAUCUUCAACAUCUUUGUUCUCUGUCAACUAUUCAACAUAUUCUACCUGAGAAACUACGAAGGGGGUAUCCUCAGAGAGCUAAAAACAAAGCGGUUAUUUUGGGGGAUUGUAGGAAUGAUAGUAGUUAUCCAGUUUGCAAUGAUCGAAAUGCUGAAAGAGUUUGCAUGUACUGAGAGAUUGAAUUGGAUGAAGUGGAAAGUGUGUAUUGGGAUAGCUGCUUUAUCAUGGCCAGUUAGUUUGCUCAUAAAAUGUAUACCUGUUCCAAAGACACCUUUGUUUAGUCGUAGGAACAGCCAGAACUCUAGUUACUCAAGAUUUAGAUCAAGUGUUUGGUUAUAGCAAGUUUGCCUUCUCAAUUCCUACCAUAUUUGUUUGUUCAUUCUAUAACACUUCCAUUUGUUUGUACUUUUAUAACAUUUAUUGUUUUAAAUUUAAUAUGUUAUACAUAAUUAUACUAAAGGAAAAAUAAAGUAAUACUUUUAUUUGGUACAAAAAAAAAUCAUUAAAACUUUGUAAGAAUUAAGUGAGUUGAGUUACGACACACAUUUUAGCCCAUUGCAAAUGCCAGUCUAAAGCUUCAAAAAUCUUUGAACAUAUUAUCAGCUCAGGUAUAUAUGUUGACAAUCAUGAACAAAGUACACUAUUAUUAAUAAUGGAAUGUAACAUAAAUCAAUUAAUCAAACAGAUACUAUUAGAACUAACUAGCUUAUGACAAAAACAUACUGAACACCUAAAUCUACUCAUUUAAACAAGGCUUUCAAGUAAUUCAACCUUAGAUAACUAAAUAUUGGUCUCUCUGGAACAGUUAUGCACUUGACAAGCCAACCAAUUGGCCAAGAUGCAGCUGCAAAUCCAAUGCAGAUACCCCAUUGCCCCCAAUUCAGCCUCUCUGUAUUUGCAAACUUCUUCAGAAACUCCACCAUCACCACUUGGAGAACCAAUGUUAUUCCGAUGAUCGCCAUGAACAACUUGUUCUUGUGUAUUCCCUUAAAGACAUUCUUCUUCUCCAGGUUUCGCGCGUUGAAUUCAUUGAACACUUGGCAAAGAACAAACGUGUUGAAAAUCAAUGUAUCGUUUACCUUCUUGUUGACACCGAAGAUUGACUCUCCUUUGAAUUGUAAUGUCAAUAAAACGGCAAUCUGAUAUAAGGCCUGAGCCAUUAGAUUCCUCCACAUAACAUUGGUGAUAAGUGGUGCAGUCCAACCAACUGGUUUCUUCUUCAUGAGUUCCUUGGUUGGCUUCUCUGUCGCGAGUGCUAAUGCCCCUAAUGUGUCCAUGAACAAAUUUACCCAUAGCAAUUGUACUGCUGUGAGUGGAACCUCACCAGAUGAAAUAGCUGCUACAAAAUUGAUCACGAGCACAGCCACAUUUACUGUGAGCUGAAAUUGGAUGAAUUUCUGGAUGUUGUUAUAGACACACCUUCCCCAUUUCAAAACUGUGGCAACUGAAGCAAAGUUAUCAUCCAAGAUGACAAUAUCAGAACUCUCUUUAGCCACUUCAGUGCCAUGAAUCCCCAUAGAAAGUCCUAUAUCUGCUUCCUUUAAAGCUGGGGCAUCGUUCAUUCCAUCACCUGUGACCGCGACCACAUGACCUUUCUUUCUCAAGCACUGCACCAUUAGAAGUUUGUCAAAAGGGGAUGAUCUUGCCAUCACGCAUAUCUUCUCCACUCUCUCCAUCCGUACUUCAUCUGUUAGGUUGCGAAAUUCUUCACCUUCUAUGACCUGCUCCUUCAUCUACUUCCGGAUUAGGAUGGAGAAUCCCACAUUCUGUUGCUAUGGCUUUUGCAGUGAACACAUUGUCACCAGUAAUCAUCUUGAUGUUCACACCAGCAUUUUGGCAAGCUUCCACAGCUUUCUUCACGCCAGGUCGACAUGGAUCUUUUAGGCCAACAAUGCCCAAAAGAAUGAUAGAGUUGUCUGGAACAUUUCCAUGAAUAUGCUCAUGAUCCUCCUGCUCAGCUUUUAUCACUUGCUUGUGAGCAAAUGCGAUACAUCGAAGGCUACUGGCAGCCAUUCCUUCAAUUAUCCUAUCACAUUCUUCCUUGUCUGAUUGGUCGAGAGGUUUUACAUUCCCUUCUAGAUCAUAGUAGUGGGAGCACAUUCUUGAAAUCAUUUCAGCUGCACCUUUCCAAUGUGCAUGAAUUGUGCCAUCUGUAAUGUUCUUGAUCAGGACACCGCUCUCCUUUUUCUCUGAAUUGAAAGCUUCCAUAUGUAGAAUGUUGAAAUUUCUUUUCAUUUGAUCCAUAUCCAUGUUCAGUUCCGUAACAGCCCACAAAAGAAUAGCUUUUUCAGUAGGGCUGCCUGAGAACUCGAAGCUGGAACAUGAAUCAGUGGACUUGAAAACACUACCUGUAGUGUUUAAUCCAACACCUUGAUGUAAUAAUUCAAGAACUUUGACUGAAAUUGUUGUAUGACUUUCCGCUUUCACGUGCUGUUUGCCUAAGAAAAACUUUGUCACGGUCAUCUUAUUUAAUGUAAGAGUACCUGUUUUGUCUGUACAGAUGGUGGUGGCAGAGGCCAUAGUCUCACAUGCGGAGAGCUUCAUCACCAUUGCCUGAUCAGCCAUCAUUCUCUUCAUGGAAUAAGCCAGAGUAAGUGUAGCAGCUAAAGGCAAGCCUUCAGGAAUCGCGACAACAACAAUGGUAACAGCGGCAGCAACAAUUCCCACCACAGCAUUGAUCACAUCAUCGGAUGAUGUCUUGCUCCCGUUGAAUUCUUUUUUACCAUUCUCAUCUUUUGUGGUGCCAGUAAAGUAUCUAACCAAUAGGACAACAAGAACUAAGAAAGCAACUAGCAACCCAACUUUACCAAUCGAUGUAGUAAGCUUGUUGAGUCGUUCUUGGAGAGGGGUUUGCUCAUUAGAAUUACUGCUGAUUUGGCUCAUCAUUUCACCCCAGGUGGUGUUCAUUCCAACCGAUAUCACAAGCAUCAUGCCAUAGCCAUCGACAACCUUCGUGCCAGAAAUCAAGAAUGGAUUUUGGCUGAUAUUAAUCUCGACAUGAUCACUUUCACCUGUCAUGCUAGAUUCAUCCACUUGUAAAGAAUGGCCUUCUACCAAAAUCCCAUCAGCAGGGACUUGAUCUCCAAUCUUCAAGCAAAUGACAUCUCCAACAACAAUUUCAAAUAUCGAUAUCUGUUGGCGCCUCCCCUUUCUAACAGCUUCCACUGGAAUAUUCUUGCUCACUUUGGAAAGCUUAUCAAACUGUCUGUUUUGUCUAAAAUUACUAAUAGACGAAACAGCGCUGACAAGAAACACAGCGACAUAAAUACUCCCUCCAUCGUACCAUCCUUCUUUCAGUCCAUGCUCCUUAAUUCCAAAUCCAAGAGACAGAGCAGCACAGAGCAAAAGUAUAAUGAUGGUAGGAUCCUUGAAUGAUUCCCAAACAAACACGAAGAAACUCUUAGUAGGUGCCUUACGAUACGUGUUGCUUCCAAAAGCCUCAUGUCUACGUGCAACGUCUUCUGAAUCUCCGCUUACACCAUUAGUUGUAUCACUUUUGAGAGAAGCAGCAACACCUUGUACACCUCCAAUGUUAGCAAGUUCGUCAAAGUUUUUAUCUUUGACAAGCUUCGCUAGACUUGACUGAUCAACACCUUGUACACCUCCAGUUGUGAUUUUGUUCAUGAAUAGGUAAUGCAAGUUUUCUUCAAACAUGUUUGAUUGAAAAUGUGUGUAAUAACAAUGAUGAACAAUAAAAGGAUAAAAAUAUCAAUACUUUGUGAUUGUGUUUUUGAGUGAAGUAGUAAUAAUCCCCCGGAAGUUAAUCAUAUUAUAUAAGUACUAAUACACCGCGUAAUCAAGUUGAUGAAGUUUAGUGGGGUGCAGUCACAUGGAUAUUUCCCUAAACCGCCUUUGGGUCUCCUUUGAAAAAUGCAUAAUCUAUGGAGGGUCCUCCCCUAUUUUCUUGCGGCCCACGAUCUAAUUAAGUUGGGCUUCUUGUACAAGUGACCAAAUUGUUUAAUAAAGAGAAAAUUUUAGAAAUAACAAAUAUAAUAAGACCCGAUACAUCAAGUUUUCGUCAUAUGCGAAAUUCGGAGAAGGACUAGACUAUUAAGACAUAAAUGCCUUACGUAUAGGCUAAGUUAUUAUAAAUUAAUUAGUAUAUAUAUUUUAACUUAACUGUUAAGUAUACAUAUCAUUAUGUAGCUAGGUUUCUUUUCGUUUACAAUUUGGUCAUGUCGACAAUAUGGUCCAUGUGUGAAGUAUUUAAGUAUUUGUUUCACAAAAUAUAAUUAAUGCCAUUACCUAGUUUUGAUAUAUGUUAAUUUCAUCGACAAUGUUUAGGAGCACUUUAUAAAUCAAGAAAAAAAAUAGAAAUAAGAUGCAAUUGAUAAUUAUAUCAUGUCUUCCUAUAAUAAAUUAAGUAUAAUAAGGUAGCACAAGAAAAUCAAACAAAAUUUAGGAAUGAGAAAGGGUUCCAAAAAGAAAAUACUUAGACUUUGCAUAUAUCCACUCUCUUAAAAUCUUAGUUGUAAAAUCACGAUCGUUCAAGAAAAAAAACUAAGAAGAGACAAAUGCCUUAUUUGUUUGUAUAUUUAAAAUAAAGAUUUGAACCUUAAUUAUUCAAGUUUCAGUUAUUAAGUUUGUCUAUUUUAUUUUUUUUAAUAUUAAUUAUUCAAAUCUUAAUAUUCAAGUGUUUCUUUUUCUGUGUUUUGCAAUCACAAUUAGAGUUUUAUAGAGAAACUAAAUAGGCUAAAAAUAUUGGAGCUCGAGUACUCCAACAAGGUAGAAACUAGGGUUGCAUAUUUUUCCAAUUUUCCAUUUUCGGUUAUGAUUCGUAGACAUGCUAAAUUAUUUUAGAAUCAUUAAGAUAUUGCUUGUCGAUUAUUGGUGAUUGAUCGUUACUGAUUUGGUUAUCAGUUUAACAGUUACCAUUUGACACACAAUAAUAAUAAUUGAAAAUCAUUCAGAGUUGACAGAUUGCAUCUUGUUCAAAAGUAAACACCGACACUUUAUAGGAUAAUCGAAAGUUUGAGACAAUAAAAAAUAAAAGUAUGCAACUAAACUCUGAGUCAAGUAUUUAUAUAUAUAUACAUAUAAAUAUAAUUAUAAGUUAACUAGUCUAUACUACCUUAAAAGCAUGAACUCCUAAGCUGAAUGUUGAAUUACUAUAAUACCCCCAAUUAAAAAUACUCAAUUUAUUUUAUUUAUUAAUUUAAUUAUUUAUAUUAUAUUAAAAGUAGAUACCCUUUCAUAUUAAAGGGUUGUGAUUUUCUCAAAGAGAUGUGACUUUUCCAAAGGGUUGCGACUUUUUUGACGGGUCUUGACAUUUUUGAUGAGUUGUGAUUUUUUCGAAGGGUUGUGAUAUUUUCAAAGGGUUGUGGCUUUUCCGAUGAGUUGUGACUUUUGCAAAAGGUUGUGAUUUUUCCGAUGAGCAGUGAUUUUUUCAAAAGGUUGUAACUUUUUUGAUAAGGAACAAUUAGCACCUAUUCAUACUACUAUUUGUUAGCUAUAAAUAGAGGGUUUCCUCUCACUUUAAAACUACGAUUUUUUAAAAAGUUUUCUACUCUUCUUCUUCUUAAAAAAUCUCAGGUUAUUUGCAACAGUUGAUUAAGUUCAAAAUUCAACGAAAUUCGAGGUACCACAUAAGAAAGAGUUGGUGAACAAAUUGUAGCAAAUCAUUCAUAAAUUCACACUCGUAUUUUUUUCUUACGAUUUCCAUGAGUUAACAGUGACGAAAAAGUUGUGGGAAAGACAAUAAUAAUAAACAAAUAUGAAAAAAAAUCACAUGAUUUGGGUAAGAUAUUUCUUCUUUGGUUUUUUAUUUUUUAUUUUUUUACUCUCAAAAUGAAGCAGUUUCUUUCUGAUUUUACUAAAAUCAUGGGCAUCAACGCAGUCCAUUGAAUCAUUAGUUUGAUGUUAAAUCCACUAUUUCAAAUAUAAAUUUUCACUUUUACUUAAUAUGAUAAUAUAGACAUGGUAAUAAUUAAUUUUAAUAGAUAUGUAAGUAAAAUUGAACAAAGAAAGUAAAGUGUUAGUGACAAGAGAUUUUAAUCAAAUGGAACNNNNNNNNNNNNNNNNNNNNNNNNNNNNNNNNNNNNNNNNNNNNNNNNNNNNNNNNNNNNNNNNNNNNNNNNNNNNNNNNNNNNNNNNNNNNNNNNNNNNNNNNNNNNNNNNNNNNNNNNNNNNNNNNNNNNNNNNNNNNNNNNNNNNNNNNNNNNNNNNNNNNNNNNNNNNNNNNNNNNNNNNNNNNNNNNNNNNNNNNNNNNNNNNNNNNNNNNNNNNNNNNNNNNNNNNNNNNNNNNNNNNNNNNNNNNNNNNNNNNNNNNNNNNNNNNNNNNNNNNNNNNNNNNNNNNNNNNNNNNNNNNNNNNNNNNNNNNNNNNNNNNNNNNNNNNNNNNNNNNNNNNNNNNNNNNNNNNNNNNNNNNNNNNNNNNNNNNNNNNNNNNNNNNNNNNNNNNNNNNNNNNNNNNNNNNNNNNNNNNNNNNNNNNNNNNNNNNNNNNNNNNNNNNNNNNNNNNNNNNNNNNNNNNNNNNNNNNNNNNNNNNNNNNNNNNNNNNNNNNNNNNNNNNNNNNNNNNNAUAUAUAUAUAUAUAUAUAUAUAUCUAAAACAAAGAAUUGGUCAAGCUAAGUAAUUGACAUCCACUCAAACCACUACCUACUUUAGGUAUAUAAGUUAUGGGCCCUAGGGCUGAUUAAAUUUAUUCUAAGACAUUUUUGCUAAAGUAAUCAAUCAUAUGUGCUACUCUUUUCUACGAAUGAAAGCGACACCAUUAUCUUUUUAUUUUUGUACAUUUAAUAACAUCAUAUUAUAGUAAUACAAAAUAAUGUCAUGAUAUAUUUUAAAUUAUAAACUUUAAAAGUUUUUUUUUCCCCAUAAGAUUCUUAUUGAAUCAAACAACAAAAUUUGUACUUAAAUGGUGUACAUCAUUUGUGUUCAUAACCUCAAGAGGAAAGACUAUUGGUGACAUUUUUUGUAUUGAUAUUUAAAAAAAAAAAUUUGUUGGUUAGAUUUGUUUACAAAAUUGAGUGAAGCAAUAAUAAUACUACUAAAGAAAUGUCACUUUCUCCCCAUAUAUAAACUUUGAAAUGUAUUUUGAAAUGUUUCAAUAAUAUCUGGUCAUUUUGAUCUCAAAAUACAAGUAACUCUAUGGCAAUCAAUAUUAAUCAUUUGAAAGCACUUGUCCUAUGUUCUUUAAGUUAUAAUUAUUUACUAAAAAACAUUAAUUUAGUAAUAUUAAUUCUAUUUUACAAAAUCAUAUACUAUAUAUAUACGAUACACACGUGCAACGCACGUGCUGUGAAACUAGUUAAGAAAAAAGCACCAAAAUAUUAAAAACCGAUAACCCAUAGUAAAACUAAUCAAAACCAUUAUCGAAAUAAAUCAAUAAAUUCUGGUUAACAUUUCAAUUCAGAUACUAGAAACAAUGUCUUUGCAAUAUAUCAUAGUGGCGCGAAAAGUAAUUGGAAAGGAAGGCUCUAAUUCUGCUAUCAGUGUCACAUGAUUUCAUUCAUCUUUCAACUUUCCAAUCCCCAAAUUGAUGCGUGACUGAGUAGGUCAUAUUAGGAAGAGAGAUACAAAAUCACCGGUACCGGAAAGUACUUCUGACUGAAAAUUCUCAGGCAUUGCAUCGGCCAUCGGCCAUCGGCCAUCGGCGAUCAGUCUAUAUUGCAUAAACUGAAAGAGGUAACAAACUGACAUCUCUUCUCAUCCCUUGGGAUCCACAUUACACACAUUUUCCACUUCUGAACCCUGCUGUGAUCAACCUGAAAACAAGUUUUAUUGCAUUAUGAAUUCUAUGAUGAUUGACAAGGAUUGAAUUAGGAAAAUGGACUUUGUCUACGUAGAGAAUAGCAGAAGAAAAGUAUAAUUGGGGAAACGUUCGGCCAGUUCAAUAUCGUUAAGGAAGAUUUUGGAUAAGAGAAUGCCUAAUGUCAUCUCUAUUUUUACUUGUCUAGAUGCUUCUAGAAAUUAUUGUAGAUGUAAAAAUCUGGAUAACUUCAUCAUCUAGCUAUGAAUCUAGAACUUUUAGAUCUAGCUUUAAGAUUAGAUCAUUCUAGAAGCUUUCAUAAAAAAUCUAAGUUUUUUUUGUAGUUCCAAAAAAUUAACUUUAAUUUUUUCAGUUUAUUUGUUGAAUAUCUUUAGUCUUUACUACUGAGAGGUGGAGAAAUUUGGAUAUGCAAAGGGAGAAACUCUGGACUUGACACUUUUAGAUAUGUUCAACUAUUAAGGUGAUUCCAUUGCACUUUUAAGUUUUAAAAAAUGUGAGUUCAGAAUUUGAUAUUUUAGCAAUUUUUAACUGUAAAUCUAUGCUCUGUAACUGUAGUAGAAGAAUUCUGUACAACUCUUUAUUUAGAAACAUACCAUAGAGAAAUACAAGUAGUGAGUAAUAAAUGAAUGCAACAUAAAUCAACCAUUUCACAACAAACUAAUACAAUUACAACAAACUAGCUUAUGGACCAAAAAAAAAUGAACAUCUAUAUUUACUCAAUUUUAACCUGAGAUAACUGAAGAUUGGUCUCUCUGGGACAGCUAUGCACUUGACAAGCCAACCAAUUGGCCAAGAUGCAGCUGCAAAUCCAAUGCAGAUUCCCCAUUGCCCCCAAUUCAGCCUCUCUGUAAUUGCGAACUUCUUUAGGAACUCCACCAUCACCACUUGGAGAACCAAUGUUAUUCCGAUGAUUGCCAUGAACAACUUGUUCUUGUGUAUUCCCUUAAAGACAUUCUUCUUCUCCAGGUUUCGCGCGUUGAAUUCAUUGAACACUUGGCAAAGAACAAAUGUGUUGAAGAUCAAUGUAUCGUUUACCCUCUUGCUGACACCAAAGAUUGAUUCUCCUCUGAAUUGUAAGGUCAAUAAAACAGCAAUCUGAUACAAGGCCUGAGCCAUUAGAUUUCUCCACAUAAUGUUGGUGAUAAGCGGUGCAGUCCUACCGACUGGUUUCUUAUUCAUGAGUUCCUCGGUUGGCUUCUCUGUCGCAAGUGCUAA